RNAcentral lists this long non-coding RNA (61099 nucleotides) under Brassica napus (rape). Its description in RNAcentral is "long non-coding RNA (BNAP_LNC020300)". The record is from RNAcentral. Lineage: Eukaryota; Viridiplantae; Streptophyta; Magnoliopsida; Brassicales; Brassicaceae.
UCAUCUUUAAUGAAGGAUAAAAAACAUUUAUAACCUUUGAAUUAACUUUGACAAAAAAACAUAAGUUUAACUAAUCUAAACUUAAAACAUCAACUAUAAACCCUAAAUCUUCAACUCUAAACCUUAAACGAUGAAACUUUCAAAUCUAAACCCUAAAACAUCAAAGUAAACCCUAAACUCUAAAUCAAAACUCAAAGCAUCAACUCUAAACCCUAAAACAUGAAACAUCAAUUCUAAACCAUAAACCCCGAAACAUCAACUCUAAACCAUAAACCCUAAACCUUCAAAUCUAAACCCUAAAACAUAAACUCUAAAUUCUAAACGUAAACCCUAAACCCUAAACACUAUAUUUUUCUAAAAUUCGAACCCUAAACCCUAAAACCAUAAACCUUCAAAUCUAAACCUUAAAACAUCAACUCUAAACCCUAAAUGUAAACCCUAAACCCAAAAACCCUAAACCUUCAAAUCUAAACUCUAAAACAUCAACUCUAGGGUUUAGGGUUUAGGGUUUACGUUUAGGGUUUAGAAUUGAAGGUUUAGGGUUUAGGGUUUAGGGUUGUAGUUUAGGGUUUAGGGUUUAGAGUUGAUGUUUUAGGGUUUAGGAUUUACGGUUUGGGUUAAGGUUUACGGUUUGAGUUUAGGGUCUAAGACUUGGGUUUAGGGUAUAUGAUUUCGGUUUAUAGUCUAUUUUUGGGUUUAAGGUAUAUAAUUUGGGUUUAAGGUCUAGGAUUAGGGUUUAGGGUAUAGGGUUUGGGUUUAGGGGUUUGAAUUUGGGUUUAGAAUUUAGGGUAUAGGGUUUGGGUUUAGGGGUUUGAACUUGGGUUUAGAAUUUAGGGUAUAGGGUUUAGAAUUUAAGAUUUAGGGUUUAGGGUUUCUCUGGAAGCGUUAACGUGUUAAAAUUAGCAUUUUUAUGUUUUGUAGUUAUUUUUUAUUUAAUUUAAUAUUUUUUAAUUAAUAAUCUAUGUGUCAUUUUGAAUAGUUUUAAAGGUUAAAGGGUGGGUGAAUUUAAACGUUAUUUAAGCAACAAAAAUCCAAUCAAACACACACAAACAAGAACAUGUUAAUUAGUUGAUAUAUUUGGGAUUAGUUAAGGAUUAUACGAUUACUGUAACAAUUAAAAAUUACGUUACAUACUUGCAAAUGAUUUUGUUGAUAUAUACUUUUCAUGGAACUGAACGUUUAAUUUUUAUUAAUAAUUACAGCCGAAGCCUCUGAAGAAUCUGGAUGGACAAUUCUGUGAGAUAUGUGGAGAUCAGAUUGGUUUAACAGUUGAAGGAGACCUGUUCGUAGCUUGCAACGAGUGUGGUUUUCCAGCGUGCAGGCCAUGCUACGAGUACGAGAGGAGAGAAGGGACGCAGAACUGUCCUCAGUGCAAGACUCGUUACAAGCGUCUCAGAGGAAGCCCAAGAGUGGAAGGAGAUGAGGAUGAAGAGGAUAUUGAUGAUAUUGAGCACGAGUUUAAUAUCGAUGAUGAACAUAACAAGCAGAAUCAUUCUGCUGAGUCCAUGCUCUAUGGGAAAAUGAGCUAUGGAAGAGGUCCUGAUGAUGAUGAGAACGGGAGAUUCCCACCUGCUAUAGCCGGUGGCCAUAGUAGACAUGUACAGAGAAAAUCCGCUUUAAAUAAAAAAAAAAUUCUUAUACAAAUAUAUAAGAUCAAGUUUGUAUAUAUAUAUUUUUUUUGUCUCUUUUGGAUUUUCUGCAGGUAAGUGGAGAGUUCCCAGUUGGAGGAGAGCAUGGGCUUCAUAAGCGUAUUCACCCAUAUCCAUCUUCUGAAGCUGGUGAGCCUCUCUUCUCAUUGUCCUCUGUAACUAGUAGUAGCACACAGACAAAAUGAUGUUGUUAACCAUAUACUUAGGUACUCAUAAUAUGUGUUUCUGUGGAUAUAAAAGUUUAUUUUGGAAACAUUAACAUACUUAUAGAAAUAACAUGGACAUUCACAGUGAUAACUAAGGUCACUUAUCAUGCAAAAAUAACCAAGGUAUGAAGCAUGUUAGCUAGGUAUUUAAUUAAUUUGGUAGUAGAUAAUGACAUAUUUUUGUAAACAAUAAUAUUAGGCUCUUACAUUGUUAGGUGAAAUUAAUCACCAGAGCCUUGUUUGAGUAAGAGCUGCUUCUGUAAUGAAACUAACUACAAGCAAAUGAAGUUAAGGUUUCUAACAACUUAAUAGGGACAUAGUUUCAUGCACAAGGACUUUAGGCUCUUAUUACAGUGUUAUAUCAAAUAAAAGCACAUGAAGUAGAUGUUUCUAACAACACUUUUCUUCUUCUUUUGGUAGCGAGUGAGAGAUGGGAUGACAAGAAGGAGGAUGGCGAGAAAGAAUGGAUGACUGGAAGCUCCAGCAAGGAAACCUUGGUCCAGAACCAGAUGAUGAUCCAGACAUGGGACUAUAAUGUCUCCACACACAUGCGUCUUAACACUUCAGUUUUGUAUGAUUCAUGCUUACAAUCUUUUGGAUUUUUGUUUGGAAAUGGCUUGCAGGAUAGACGAGGCAAGGCAGCCACUCUCGCGGAAAGUUCCCAUAGCAUCAAGCAAGAUCAAUCCAUAUACGAUGGUCAUAGUUGCUAGGCUUGUGAUUGUAGCAGUUUUUCUACGUUAUAGACUCUUGAACCCUGUGCAUGAUGCUCUGGGGUUAUGGCUAACCUCUGUGAUCUGUGAAAUAUGGUUUGCCGUCUCUUGGAUUCUUGAUCAGUUCCCCAAGCGGUUCCCUAUUGAUCGUGAGACCUAUCUAGACCGUCUCUCCCUCAGGUAAAUCUCCACACAUUCUCAAGUAGAAGCCUUAAAAUCUAAUCCCUCCGUUUCAUUUCAUAUAUUGUUUUAAGAUUUUUUUAGCUUAUUAAGAAAAUCAUUAAAAUUUUCUAUUAUAUCUCUAAUCAGUAUAUUAUUUGAUUUAAUUUUAUUAAUUAAUGAGUUAAAUGAAUAAAUAUAAAAUUGGAAAACAAGUAAACAUGCAUUGAAAAUAUAAAACUCAUAAAUUUUAAAGUCUAUAAUGACACUUGAUAUGAAAAGGAGAAAAUAUGAAAUUGGUUUAUGGAUACAACUUUUUGUUUUUGUUUGUAUAGGUACGAGAGAGAAGGUGAACCAAACAUGCUUGCCCCUGUAGAUGUCUUUGUAAGUACAGUGGACCCAAUGAAGGAGCCUCCCUUAGUCACAUCUAACACCGUGCUCUCAAUCUUGGCCAUGGACUACCCUGUUGAGAAAAUCUCCUGCUACGUCUCUGACGAUGGUGCUUCCAUGCUCACAUUCGACUCUCUCGCAGAGACCGCCGAGUUUGCAAGAAAAUGGGUUCCUUACUGUAAGAAAUUCUCCAUAGAGCCACGUGCUCCGGAGAUGUACUUCACGUUGAAAAUUGAUUAUCUCAAGGACAAAGUCCAGCCAACGUUCGUUAAAGAACGUAGAGCCAUGAAGGUAAGUGUAAUAUCACUUGAGUUCAAGUUAUGUCACCACUAAGGCUUGGUUUCUUGCAGAGAGAGUAUGAGGAGUUCAAGGUGAGGAUCAAUGCUCUUGUGGCUAAAGCCUCAAAGGUUCCUCUAGAAGGUUGGAUCAUGCCUGAUGGAACACCAUGGCCAGGGAACAACACUAAGGACCAUCCUGGUAUGAUCCAAGUCUUCCUCGGCAGCAACGGUGGAUUUGAUGUUGAAGGCCACGAGCUCCCUCGCCUUGUGUAAGUGUCACGUGAGAAGCGGCCUGGUUUCCAGCACCACAAGAAAGCUGGUGCCAUGAACGCUCUGGUUAGAGUAGCGGGAGUACUCACAAACGCUCCUUUCAUGCUCAACUUGGACUGUGAUCACUACGUUAACAACAGCAAGGCCGUGAGGGAAGCAAUGUGUUUUUUGAUGGAUCUUCAGAUUGGAAAGAAGGUUUGCUAUGUUCAGUUCCCUCAGAGGUUUGAUGGUAUCGACAGACAUGAUCGUUACGCCAACAGAAACACUGUCUUCUUUGAUGUAAGACGCAAUCUGGUCUAAGAGAUAUAGAUAUAAUCGCUUUCUUACCCUCUUGUGUGUUGUUGACAGAUCAAUAUGAAAGGUCUAGAUGGAAUCCAAGGUCCGGUUUACGUUGGUACUGGUUGUGUUUUCAAAAGAUAAGCUCUCUAUGGUUAUGAACCACCAAAGGGUCCUAAACGUCCUAAGAUGAUAAGCUGUGGUUGUUGUCCUUGUUUUGGCCGCCGGAGAAAGUCCAAGCACGAGUCUAAUGGUGACAUAGCAGGUGGUAAACUAUCCCCAAAUAAACUUAUAAUCUUGAAGUAGGUUUAGUGUAUGUGAUAAGUGUUUGUUUUAGUAGGAGCAGAGGGUGACAAGGAGCAUUUGAUGUCUGAGAUGAACUUUGAACAAAAGUUUGGGCAAUCAUCCUUGUAACCUCUACUUUGAUGGAAGAUGGUGGUGUUCCUCCAUCAUCAAGUCCUGCAGUGCUACUUACGGAGGCCAUCCAUGUCAUAAGCUGUGGUUAUGAAGACAAGACUGAGUGGGGGGGGAACUGAGGUAACUAUACUGAACCUUAAGGCCGUUCGUGAGAUUUUGGGUACUGUAGACGUUUAGUAAAAAUUCAAUAUAAAAAUUGUUUUUACAAAUAUGGGGAUUUAUGUUUAUAUAAUUUAUUUCAAUAUUUCAUUUGGUUUUGUCCAGGUCAUGUCUAACAAUUGUAACAAAGUUUUAUGUUUUCUUUGGAAAUGCAGCUGGGUUGGAUCUAUGGUUCAAUCACUGAGGAUAUUUUGACUGGCUUCAAGAUGCAUUGCCGUGGCUGGAGGUCUAUUUACUGCAUGCCUAAGAGAGCUGCAUUCAAAGGCUCAGCUCCUAUUAAUCUAUCAGACAGGUUAAACCAGGUUCUGCGUUGGGCACUAGGCUCUGUUGAAAUCUUUUUCAGCCGGCACAGUCCUCUUUGGUACGGCUACAAAGGAGGCAAACUCAAAUGGCUUGAGCGUUUUGCUUACGCCAACACAACAAUCUACCCUUUCACAUCUAUUCCACUUCUUGCCUACUGUAUUCUUCCAGCUAUCUGUCUCCUUACUGACAAGUUCAUCAUGCCACCGGUUAGUAUACUACUCCAUCUGUUUCAUAUUAAGUAUCGUUGUAGAACAAUUUAUUUUAUAAAAUAAGUGUCGUUUUAGUAAAUAAUGGCAAAACUAAACAUUUAACUCUUUUAUUAAUUAGCAUGAACAAAUCUAGAACCACAUCUAAUUUGAAACGGACUGAAUAUUUGAUAAAAACGUAUAGAAAACUGCUUUAACUUUGCUUACUAUCUGUUUUUCUCAGAUAAGCACGUUUGCUAGUCUCUUCUUCAUUGCAUUGUUUGGUUCCAUCAUUGCAACGGGGAUCUUGGAGCUGAGAUGGAGUGGAGUGAGCAUUGAAGAAUGGUGGAGAAACGAGCAGUUCUGGGUCAUUGGAGGAAUCUCAGCUCAUCUCUUUGCGGUUGUCCAGGGACUCCUCAAGAUCUUAGUCAGGCAUCGACACAAACUUCACAGUCACGUCAAAGGCAACGGAUGACGACGACUUUGGAGAGCUUUACGCGUUCAAAUGGACAACUCUGCUUAUCCCUCCGACAACGGUCUUGAUCAUAAACAUUGUGGGAGUUGUUGCUGGCAUCUCAGAUGCUAUCAACAAUGGGUAUCAAUCUUGGGGACCUCUGUUUGGUAAACUCUUCUUCUCCUUUUAGGUAAUUGCUCAUCUCUACCCGUUCCUUAAAGGUUUGAUGGGGAGGCAGAACAGAACGCCGACGAUUGUGGUGAUUUGGUCUAUUUUGUUGGCUUCUAUCUUCUCUUUACUUUGGGUGAGGAUUGAUCCUUUUGUGAUGAAGACUAAAGGACCUGACACUUCCAUGUGUGGCAUCAACUGCUGAAGUAAAAAUCAAUUUCUUUUUCUUCUGAAACUUUUAUGUACUUUGUCCAGAGUGUUUUCACUUCUCUUUUCGGAUUUGAACAUCGAUUUCAACUUCUUUAUUUUCUGCAAAAUCAGUAAAGACACUGCACUGCAAUCAGAAUUUCUACUAUAUAGAGAAGUACAUAAUCACAAUGAUCCUGAGAACAUAACAAUGACUAGAACAGCAAACAAACCUUGAAGACAUCAGGCAAACGAAGCAAGCAUCCUCUCAGAAAUUUAUCAAGAAAGAAGUCCUGAUGGUGUAUCACCUGUAAGACGGACGAACAUUGUUCAAUCAAGAAUGUUUUCCCUACAACUAUAACAAAGCAGAUCUCUAACCUUACCUCAUCUACACUCCUGGUAGUCUAUCAUGCAUCACAAGCCAAUUUGGUUCGAGAACCUAAAGAGACAUUCCACAUAAAUGCAAGCCAAUGCAACAUUGGAAGAAAUUCAAGAGCCAAAAAUGCGCUAAAUGAAAAACUAAAAUCAUCUCAUAAAUCAUUUCGUCUCUGAAUAAUCUUGGUGUAAUUUCUCUCACCUGUUCACUGAUAGUGUAAAACUUCCAUAAUCUGUAACUCAAGAUUUCUUAAGUAUCUUGAAAUACACAUCUCUUGAAAUACAUAGUUGCAAGAAGUGCCUAAUUCUUAAAUAUGAUUCUUAAAGGACCGAGCAAAUAUCCGGAAUUUCAAAGAUAUUUGUGAUCAGCUCUGCUUCAGAUUCGAUUCAAUCUAUAAAUUUUCGAAGUGCUCCGGAAAUCUGAAAAAUAAGUAUCUUUUACCAGAUAUCAGAAUUGUUCCGUAAAAAUAAUAAAAAAUAAAAAAGUUUAAAAUAAUAUAAAUAAUAAUAUUUUAUUACCAUUUUUUAAAAUGCUACAUACUUUUAAUGGCGAAUAAAAAAUAUUAUAAAAAUUAUACAAUUUACAUAUAUAGUUUUAUAUAUAUGUACAUAUAUGUACAUAAUGGAUUGGUCGGAUAUUCAUUUUUUAAAGUUGGAAUUUGUGAUUUAUUCCAUCUUUGACAGAUAAUAAAUUUUAGUAUUCAAAAUUAUUGAUAUUCUUAUUUUUAGAUCUAAUCGAAAUAAAUAAUGAAUCAUAUCAAUUUUACGGAUAUUUUGUUAAGACCUAAUUAAUUCUUCUACACUGCAGAGAUAUCUGGAUUCAGUAUACAGUGUGUAUGUGAGCAAUUGUAGAUGUCAGUCUUCCAGAGACUUAUAAUGUCAGUCUUCCAGAGACUUAUACCGCAAAAUCAGUAAAUCACUAUGGAAAAUAGGCUCGACAAAUUGUGUAGAAACUUCGUACAAUUGUCGCAUCCAGAAAAAGUCAAAUUAACUGCUCACUACGCAACAAGUCAAGUCCUCGUCACGUGGAUCUGCUGUAGCCCCUGUAGUGCGCAGUAGGCCUGGAAAUUUUAUCUGAGAUUCGGAUUCGAUCCGAAAUUCAAUCCGAGAUUCGAUCCGGAUCCGAUCCGAGAUUCGAUCCGGAUCCGAUCCGAAAAUCCGAAUAUCCGGAGGGACUGAAUCCGGAUCCAGAUAAUAAAAUGUUGGAUGGAUAUCUUAAUUCAUUGGUCUAAACAUUCGGAUCCGUAAGUUUUAUUAAUAAAUAUUUCAAAAAUAGUAAAAUCUAUAUAUAAAAAUUAAUUUUAUUUAAUAUAUUUUCAUUUUUAUAAUAGUAUAUGUAAAUUUUAUGUAAAUUUUGUAAUAUUAUACAUAGAAAUAAUUAAAAAACAUUCUAUAUAUUUUUAAAAUUUUGUUCAUAUUUUAUAUAUAUUAAUAUUAUUUUUUAUUUAUUUUAAGAAUCCAAAUCUGGAUCUGGAUAUCCACUGGAUAUUACAAUUUUUAGAAGGAUAUCCGACACCCGGAUCCGGAUAAGGAUAGUAAAAUUAUGGAUCCUCCGGAUAAGAAUCCGGAUCCGGAUACCUUAAAAUUGUCCGGUUACCCGAUCCUUCCCAGACCUAGUGAUGGAUGUUUUGCUUUAAAAUAGUUAAUUUAAUAAGAUUUAAAAUUAAAUACAUCAAUUAAAUAUGAAAACGAAUCUGAUGUUUUGAAAAUUUAUGGUACUUAGAUUUGGAUCCACACUUUUUUAAAUUCAAAAAUUAUUAUUAUUAUCCGGGUUGCUAAUAUUUGAAAAUUUGAUCUAGAUCCACUCUAAAAUUAAUUAAAAUAUCAUAUAAGAUUAUCUCAAGCUUAUUUAUACAAAUAUUUUAGAACAUAUUUUAUGGAUAUUUAAAUAUAGUUAUUCUACAUUUAUGAAUAAAUUUUUAUUUUAGUGAUAUUUAAAAGUUACAUAACUACAUAUUUAUAAGGAAUAUCAGUUAUAGAAAUGAAUUCAAUCAAGGAUUUUUUUUUGCAAAAUUGACUCAAAACUCAAACGGCUGCACUUUUUGUCGCAUUCGUGGUGGCAUCGGAUCGUCUCUUUUGCUGGAAGUAUAAAAUAUUAAAAGGGAUUUACGUAAAUGGAUGGUAUGGGAGACUAAGAAGAAAAUACUCACGGGUGGGCUUGACGCAGCCGGUGGUGCAACUGUCGAUGCAGUUUACUUGAGCCUCCGUUACCUUCACCAUAUCCAAGGUGGAAGACAAAGCCACCAGAAUCAUAAGAGCCGCUACUAUAGUCACUUGUGUCUUCAUCGUUCUCUCUCUCUCAAUUUCUUCUCUCUUUUCUAGUUUCUCUUUUGUAUGUGGGUAUAUAUAAAAAUGUCCCCGUUGCCAGGUUUGACCGAUAGUUUAUUUGCACGUGUCAUGAUUCUCUCCUAGUGUUUUUCCGUACACAUUCUCACAUGUACACGUUACGUUGAAAUAUUUUAGCAAAAAUUUUAGCUACUGCUCUUUUUAGUUUGGACUUCUAGUUACAGGUAACGAUCAACCCACGGACAAUUUUUUUUGAUAAUUCUGGUAUCUGGGCAGCCACAUUCCCAACUAUCCCCUCGAAAAGGGUCCAGCGCCCCAACGGAAGGGAUGUUAAAUCCGUUGUGGCCAAGACUCGAACCCGGGUGGCGGGCAGUACAGCUGUACCUCCUUUACCACCAAGCUACGAACGCUUGGUUAAAUAAAUAAUAUAAUAAUAAUAAUAAUAAUAAUAAUAAUAAUAAUAAUAUAAUAAAUAAAACUGUAUUGCGCACUAGUAGCGUAUUAAGCACUCUCGCUCGCAGUGGGCAAACGAGUUUUAUGCUCGUAUGCCUGUAAGCUUUUUUUUAUGGUUCAGACUUUGCUUGGGAAUUCAAGCGAGAAGAAUUCAAGAGAGAAUAUGGAGAAUCCCCAUAUGUUUUUGUUGGUGGCACUGAUAUCAGCUUCCUCUAUCGUUCAACUUGUUCAAGCCCAAACAGGUAUCCACACUGUAAUGAACAAAUUUUUCAAUGUAAAGUUUUGAGGUCCUAAGAGGCGAACUAAAUAAUAAAAACUUUUCAAUGUAAAGUUUAAAUAAAUAUAAUAUACUUAUAAACAGAUAAAAAAGAAAAUGAAAUCAGCUUAAAAGACAAAUGUAUAAUAUACUUUUAAAAUUUCAAUAAUUAUGUUAAUAAAUUUUCGUAGUCCAGAUUUCUGGACAAUUUUUGUUGUUGUUGGUUGGUAUUCUUGUAAGCCAUUACAAUAAUUAAUAAACAAUAUAAAUCAGCAAUAUCAUAAAUGAAUCUAUUCUAUAGCUGAAUUAGUGUCAAAUGUUAAUUAACAAAAAGGAUUAAGAUGUAUUCAUUGUUUAUUUUUAAAAUAUAGAUAAAAAGCCAUAAGAAGAAGGCUUACCAGUUAAAGAGAAAGAAAAAUAUCAGUGUAGAGAAAGAAAAACGAUGGACCCGACCAAAAUUUUAAAAUUCAUGAGCCCCAGAAAACUUUAUAUAUUUGGGGUAUGUGACAAAUGUUUUUCUUUAAAUGAAAUUUCAAAUUAUUGAUCUAUAAAAAGGAAUUAUAUUUACGAAAGAAUAGAAACUAUAUAGAAUGAACUGUAUGAUGUGGACAAAUAGAAAUGUUUCACCAAAGUUUAGAGUGUGUGCUGAAACCAUAUUCAGAGUAAACCUGCAUGUUUGUUCCUCCGUUUUGUAUUUCAAAGAGAUAAAUCCUAUUUCUUCUUUUUGGUGUUGUUCGUUUGUUCAUUUUUCAUUUUCAUUUAGUUAAUUUAUUUAGAUAAUUUAUCCAACUGAUCUAUUUUGAUGUUGUUCAGAACUAUUAAUUUUUUCGUCCAUAGAGUUCAUUUAAAUGGAUCAUCUAAAUGAAUUUAUGUUCGUUUACUCAUCUCUCUUUUCAUCUAGAUUAGUUUAGUAUACAAAUGACUUAUAUAUAUACUUUUACUUUGAUUUAAUUAUAUUUUAAUUUUAUGUUUAACUAUAUUAUUUUUUAUUAUUUAUCUAAAAUAUAGUUAAAACUAAAUAAUUUUUAAUUAGUUUUGAUUUUGUGGUUUGGCUGAAAAUAUAAUUUACUAUUUUAAAUAUAUGAUUUUCAGUUUUGUUAGGAAAAUGUGAUUUUACAAUCAGAAAAUAUAAUUUUGCAGUUCUUAAUAAAAAUGUGAUUUUAUGAUUUUGGUGGAAAGUGUGAUUUUGAGGUUGUUGUGGAAAUGUGAUUUUAUAGUUUUGGCUUGAAAUGUAGUUUUACAGUUUUGGUGAUUUAAGUGGUUUUUGGCUAGAAAUUUAAUUUACAGUUUUGACGAAAAUAUGAUUUUAAAGUUUGGCACGAAAAUGAGAUUAUGGCGAAAAAUGUGAUUUUAACGUUUUCGUAGGAAAAUAUAUUUUUGUGGUUUGGUAGAAUAUGUGUUAUGGUUUUGGCUAUGUGAUUUGGCGGUUUUGGUGAGAAAGUACAUGUUUGAGUUUUGGUGAAAAAUGUAAUUUUAUAUUUUUGGCGGAAAAAUAUGAUUUUGAAAAAAAAUAUUUUUGCGAAAAAUGAUAUUUUAGCAGAAUAUUAUGAUUUUUUUUUGAAAAUGAGAUUUUAGCGAAAUAAUAUGAUUUUUCGUUAAGGAAAGGAGGAAUUGACAUAUGGUUUCGGCGGAAAAUAUAAUUUAUAUCAUAAUUAUUCAUUUGUCUAAACUAGAUUUAAAUAUUUUAUUUGGACAAAGGUAAAUUUAUUAGUUGCUAUUUUCUAAGAUGCACCAAUUAGAUUCAUUUAAAUGAAUUAUUUGGUUAAAUCUCAUUUUAGAUUAAAAAUUUUAUACUUAUUUGGAUAGAUCAUUUGGAUGAUGCUCAUUUUAAACAGAGAAAAAAACAUCAAUUCAUAUUUUCAUUCAAAUGGACCAUCUAAAUAAACAAACGAACUCUCUUAUGCUGUAACUGAUACAUAUAAAAUGGACUUGUGGAAUAAAAAAGAAUAGAAUAAAAGAAUGGAAUAAAAGAAUGGAAUAUGAAAAAAUGGAAUAAACAUUUAUUUCAUUCAUGACAAAUGGUAAAAAAAUUGUGGAAUGAAUAGAAUAGAGCAUUUACACAUUAUUCCAUUCAAAAAUACAAAAGAACAUUAACUCAAAAGAUACGGCGGUGGGUAUAGGACAGGAAAAAAAAUGUAUUGGCCGUAAAGUAUAUUGGUUGAGCAGGGUGUAUAAAUUCGCUGCUAGGAACUAUUUUGAACUAUUACCUUAACGGUGUUCAAUAUGGCAAAACCGAACCGUACCGAACCGAACCGUACCGAAAUAGAUAAUAUGGUUUGGAUUUAGUAUAUAUCAUACAAACCGAAUGGAUAUGAUUUUUAAAAAAUUGUAGGAUUUGGAUAUGGUUCGGUAUAUAACCGAUAAAACCGAAUAAACCGAAUAAAACCGAUAAAAAAAUAGAAACAUGUAAAUAUGUAUAUAUUUUAUAACAACGUAUGAAAAUCAUAAGUUAAUUUUUUUGCUAAUAACUAUUACCAUAUUUUUUACAGUAAUAAAAUAGUCAUGAUUUGUAAAACACUUGAACUAUAAUUAAAUAACAAUUCAUCGCAAACAUGCUUCUUAUUUUCUUAGUCUUCUUUUGAUCUUUUUGCUUUAAUUUAGCAUUGACUAAAUUGAAAUAAAGAUUAUAAAUUUGAUGAUAACAAUUAGUGGAAAUUCUUCACAAUUUUUUUAUCUAUAAACGAAUAGAGUUUCGUGUUUAAUAUAAGAAACAUGACUUUGAUGAACGCUAAAUAUGAAAGAAUAUAAUAACUUAUUUUUGUGCUUCGUGCUUCUGUUUUAUUUUUUGUUUUUUAUUUUUAUUAUCAAAAUUUUGAGCUUUAAUUUUAAUUAUUUUAUUAGAUGAUAGAAACAUUUUUUAUUUUUGUUCAUUUAUUUAAACUUAUAAUCACAAGACUCUAAAAUUCAUAUAAUAUGAUCCCAAAAUAAAAAAUUAUGUUUUUUGGUAUAAAACCAAAUAAACCAAAAACCGACAGUAUAUAAAUCGAACCGAACCGAAGUAAAUAUGGAUUUAGAAAAGUAGUUAUAUUUUACUAACCGAAAUACCGAAAAACCGAAAAAACCGAACCGAAACCGAACCGAUAUCCGGAUUGAAUAUUAACAUCUAUAAAUUUCGGCAGGGUUCAUUAGUUUGGAUUGCGGGUUAUCCCCGGAUGAACAGUCACCUUACAUUGAGCUGGAAACUGGAUUACAGUUUUCAUCAGACGCAAGCUUCGUCAAAAGUGGGGAAAUUGGUAGAAUUGAUGCAAGUCUAGAGUCGAAGUACACAAAGCCACAGACGACGUUGAGAUACUUUCCAGAUGGAAUGCGAAACUGUUAUAACCUUAGUGUGCGUCAGGGAACAUGUUAUUUGAUAAGAGUUACAAGCAACUAUGGGAAUUACGAUGGUUUUAACGUUUCUCCUAGAUUUGAUUUGUACAUAGGCCUUAACUUCUGGGUAACUAUGGAUCUGGAGAGGCAUAUAAAUCGUGAUUCAACGGAAGAGAUCAUUCACAUAUAUCAAACUCAAACUCAUUGGAUGUAUGUCUUAUUAAGACAGGGCCAUCCACGCCAAUCAUAUCGGCCUUGGAACUAAGGUCUCUAGGGAAUGAAAUUUACAUCUCUGAUACAGGUUCCAUGAAACGAAUACAGAGGUCAUACCUAAGUGAAUCAACAAAAGUUAUUCGGUAAUGAUAUUAUGGCUUUUUAUUCGUUCAAUUCUGCACGGUUGAUGAUACAAGAUUUUGGUCAGUGCAGGUACCCAAGUGACAUUUACGACCGAAUAUGGGUUCCGUACUUUGAGCCGGAAUGGAGGCAAAUUUCCACAACUAUCAAACUGAACAACUCCAAUUAUUAUUUUGUGCCGCAGGAUGUGCUCAUGACCGCAGCAAUACCUGCAAAUGUUAGUGCACGAUUGAGUUUUACCAAGGAUCUUGAGUUCCCUAAUGAAAAACUUUACAUGUACUUCCACUUCUCUGGGGUCCAAGCCUUUCAGGCCAACCAGACUAGAGAGUUCAGCAUUUUGUGGAACGGAGAACUUAUUUAUUCCCCUAUGAGUCUAGAAUAUCUACAGGUCGACACUCUCUUCAAGAUGACACCUUCUCUUUGUGAAGUAGGGAAAUGCUUAUUAGAGCUUGAAAGACUUAAGAACUCAACUCUCCCACCUCUACUUUCUGCCAUCGAAGUUUUUGCUGUGGUCAACUUUACACAGUCUGAAACAAACAAAGAUGAUGGUACGUUUAUUAAUUGAUAACCAAAAGUAAUUUAUGGGGAGUAUGGUAUUAAUGAAAUAUUCAUAACAUCUUAUGUGCUAAAAUCCAACGCGUCUGUAAAUUUGAUGACAGUGAUUGCUAUCCAAAACAUCAAGACCACCCAUGGAUUGAGUAGAAUCUCAUGGCAAGGAGAUCCGUGUGUCCCUCCACAGUUUUUAUGGGAUGGUCUAACUUGCGACAGCUUCAAUGUGUCUAUGCCACCAAGAAUCACUUCCUUGUGAGAUCUCUAAAUGACAACCCUCAUUAGAUGACUUGUUAGAAGUUUAGAACGCAUUUCCUAACUGCAUUGUAUAUUAUUUGGACUUAAAAACAGAAAUUUGUCUUCUAGUGGGUUAACGGGAAACAUAGCAACUGGAAUUCAAAAUCUCACCCAUCUCCGAAAGCUGUAAGUAUGGUCUAUUAAUCAAUGACAAAUUUUUAUAUAUAUAUAUAUAUAUACUAUUAUUUGAAAAGUGAAUUUGCUUACUUGUCAUAUUCUCCAUGAUUUUAGCCAAUUUAAUUACUUGUCAUCUUUUCCAUGAUUUUAGGAUAAGUCAUUACUUUAAUUAAUAUUAUUAUUUAUUAUUUAUUUGAUAUAUAUAUUUAUCAUCAUAUCUAAGAUAAUUAAUAACCAUUAAACUAUUCUAUUGAUAUAUAUAUAUAUAUAUACUAUUAUUUAAAAAAAAGUAGUCUUUAAUAUAUAAUUAUCAUGAUAUUUAUCACAUUUAUUUAAUAAAUUGAUAAUAACCAUAUCUACCAAUAAUAUCGUCAUUACUUUUAUCUUAUAUUUAGUUUAUAAUUUUAGUGACUAAAAUCAUAGUCAGUUUCUCUGAUUUUUAUUUGAAAUAUUGAUCAAAUACAUAUUAUUAUAAAAUAUCUAUAUGAGUAUACUAAUUUAUCUGAAUAAAUCGGGUUUAUUUUGUUUAUUCAAUUUAAUCGUUUAAUAUACAGAACCAUAUCCAUAUAAUGUGGGUUUUUUUUAAAUAACAGUUAUUUGGUUUAUUCGGUACUACCAAAUCCAUAUUAUUUUCUUUAUUUUGGUUUGGUUUGGUUUUAAAUGGUUCGGUUUUACUAGAUUGAACAUUCUAGACUAUCGUUAUUUUGUUAAUGUUUUGUAUUUGUGAUUUUUAUAAUCCUUUCACUGCCACAUGAUUUCUUUUCAGUCAAAUACAAAUUUCAUAAUUUAAUUAUUACUAUUAGAAAAGAUUUUGAUUCAAAAUUUAUAUCACAUAAAUAAAAAUAAAAGUAUGAAACAAAAGAACAUAAUUUAAUACAUUGAUUACUAAUAUGAAUAUUAAAGACUUAUAAUUUAUAAUAAUUUGAAAUUUGUAUCUAAUUUAAUUAUUAUAUUUUGUUAAAAAGAAACAUUAGAAUUAAAAAAAUGUUAGGUAUAUAGAUAUAUUAAUCGCACAGGGUGCGGGACAUCAACUAGUAUUUAAAUGAAAAAAAAAUGAAAUAAAGAGAGGGAUGACCCGGAUCAUCGGUUUUACCUGUUUUUUCUCGAAUCCGGGUUUUAAACCAAACUGGACUCGGUUUCUUUAACGAGUCAUGGUCAAACCGGUCCGACUUGCCGAUUCGGUCUGGUUUUCAAAACACCGAUAAAAGCUUAUUUACCAGAUUGAACCAAUUAAUGUGUCACUAGUUAACCACAUAAAACCAGCAAUCUGUGGCACCGACCAAACCAUAAGCAAACCGGAUAUAUCUAAAAUAGAUAGUGCUAACUCCUCGGAUAAGUAAGGGGAUCAUGUAUUCACAAACACUCCGCACACAAACAAUUAUCACGUUUGAUUAGAAACCGAAUCUUACGCACAACAAAUUGCAUUGAAACAAUUUACUCAUAGGGUGUGAUUGAAAGGAACUUAUAGCGAUAAUGUUCCAGGGAUAAUUAUUUUUUUCUUUCAGUUCCACUUGUAACUACCAAUCAGGUGAAAAUAAGUUUUAUCUCUCUUACGCUUAGUACUGUUCAAAUAGAGGUAUGUAUUGCACUUUUUUCCCUCACUGUUUUUUAGGUGGAAAAUAAGUUACAAUCAACUUUUAUUUUUUUUCAUCUUUAUAACUUUACUAUUUUUCUUCCUAGUUACUCCAUUUCAAUUACUAUAUCAGUUACUCCAUAAUUUAUCAAUCACACCCAUAAAAUCGUUUUCAUCUUAAUAUAAGACUGAAAAAGAAAGUUUUCUACAAAGUAUAAAAUAGUAGUAAGUGCAUUUAAACAGUUCGAUGAUUAAGACAGAUCGAACUAAUAAAAUAUAAAAUGUAUAUAGUGAAAUCAGAUCGAUCAUUUUCGGGGGUGGAGCCUGAUCGAACGACGCCUAUCUGUGAAGAGAUAAUAUCACGGGAAAAUUGGAAAAAUGAGACAUUUUGAACUUUUAUUUGUCAAAAUAGGAUUUCUGAUAUUUUGGGCAAUUCUGGACAUAUUUUACCCUUUUUUUUAUGGAAAAAAUAGUAAACUGAAUUUUAAAAAUGUUAAAAAAUAUCAAAACUAUUGGAAACAUAAGUAUGACAAUAUAUAUGUUUAAAUUGUUUUUUUUUUAAAUGAAUCAUAUUUUAUUUCAUCUUCUAUCUACAGUUACAAUACUCAUUCUAGUUAUCUACUUAGUCUAGAAAUCGGCUACUAAUGUUUAUACAUAGAUAUAUCUUUGGUAUACAACGUAACCUAUCUUUUCUUAUAUAUUCUAACCAAAGCUAGGUUACGUUACAUUAUAAUCAAGAAAGAUGUAUUUCUUAUACCUUUAGCUUGAUAACGACAUAUAGCCACAAUGCGUUGAUAUACCCUAUCUAUAUUUGGAGCCAUGAUAUGGUCUGUCUUUUACCUUAUGUGGCGCCUAGGGAAGAAUAUGUUUCACAUCUACUCUACUGUAUUCUGACUUACAUAGGUUAUACAUUCUACAGGAAAUCCGAAAAAUAUGGAAACUUCCAUAAUCGGUUAAAGAUGUUUCCUAAAUGUAAACUAAAUCUUCCCUAAAUAUCUCCAAGAAUAUUUUCUCCCACGUUUUUCUCCUUCUCCCACGAUCUUUUGUCGUCGUUCUUUGUGUUUCUCUCUUCUUCAUCGACAUAAUCAUCUCUCUUUUCUCUAUCAAUACAACAUGGUUCUAAUCUAUGUCAAAUCGGGUGAAUGGAUGUGUAGUCGCGGUGAUGACUGGAGUUUCGUGGUAGACAAAGAAAGGCGUGGUCGAAUGGUAACAUUAGCAACUACUACUACGUUGAAGCAGCUCAAGAUAAUGGUGUGUGAGGAUUAUGGGGUGGACCAUAAUGCCAUUAAUGCCGAGUUCAGUUAUUCGUUGUUGAAUCAAAAAGGGAAUCCUCCUAUUAUUAUCACCAAUGAUCGGCAAGCAUCUAAUUUUGUGGGCUAUGCAAAGAGGGAAUCGUCUACUACCUUGUGUGUGAUGUUCUCUGUUUCUGGUGUAAAUCAAAAGGAACGAGUCAAUAUCGAUUUGAAUAAGGAGCCUUGUGAUUCAAGUAAUGUUGAGGAUGAAGAAGUUCCUGAGAUAAAUCGAGCAGAGUUUGUCAAGCCGUCAAAGGAGUCUUUUGUUAAAAGAACGAAUCAUGUCGCUGCUCCGAUUGGCAGUUUCACAGCGUUAUUAGGAGUAACACAUUUUUCACUAAUAAAAGUUGUGCUAGAUAUACCUUUCAAUCAAAACUUAAAAUUUGCUAUCCAAUAGUCUGUUAUACCAAUUUAAAAAUCUACUAUGUCAGAAUUUUUAUUUUCAACUGCAGAAGAAAUAAAUGUGGAAUUUUAGAUUUUUACGAGUUUACAAUCUGACUUUUGUAUUAAAAUUACAAGGCUAUGAAGUUAUUCGCAUGUUCUGGAAAAGAUAAAUAUAGCAAUAAUUCAUCUAAAAUGUUCAAAUUUAAAACCUGAAUUUAAAGGUGACCACAGUUAACACUAACAGUCACAUUUGCUUUUCAAUUACACGGUCAAAAUUAAUCAUAAAACAAAAUUCACGGAUAGCAAUAAGUAUUAACAUUUCGGUCGGCGUGUGGGGUAAUUGCUUUAUUAGUGUUAUCAUGUCACGUUUAAGCAAAUUAUUCUUGAUGUUGACAUUUGUAACUAAAAACUAAAGAAGAUAUAGCCAACUUAUUUUGUAUGCUAUAGUCUUGUUUAUCGAACUUCAUGUGAGAAUUGGAUGUCUAUUAUACGACUUAUGUUUGCUAUGUAACAAAAUUGGUUGGUCACUUGAACCAAUCGAGGGACAAAGAACUUUAAUGUGACCCGGCAAAAUGAUCACAGAGAAAAAAAUAAAUCAUUUCAUCAAAAGAAUCCUAUUUGGAAACAUGAUAGAUCUCAAAAUAAAUCAUAACCUUUUUUUUUUGAUCAAAUUAAACUUAUAUUGAAACACAGUUACUCAUCCCCAAGAGGGUUUGAUCGUAGGUAGUACAAGGCUGAUUUAGCUAAUGAAUCAGCAUGAGCAUUUGCUAAACGCGGAAUAAACUUAAAGGAGAUAGAGGUGAAAGACUGAGCCAACUGAUGGAUGUCAUGUAGGAUGCCUUUCAAAGCCACAUCUUGUCCUUGUGAGUUCAGGAGCAGGAUAAGAGCUUUUGAGUCAGAGUAAACAAUGAGACUGCUGACGUGUGACGAGACUGCAGCGUUAACCACAGCUUUAACCGCAAGUGCCUCAGCUACAAGGGCCGAGGUGACAAAGCGCCGGUGAGAUGAAGAAGACUCUGCACAGGUUCCUUCAGCGUCUCGGAGUUGCCAUCCGAGGCCGCAGUUGCCUGUUGAAGAAUCCGAAGCUGCAUCUGAGAAUGAAGACCAAGUAUAAGAAUUAACAGCUUGUUUAACGUUAGAUGAAACCACAUAUUGUGGUACAGGAGGUUUUGUGACCAUCGUCUGAGCAGCUCUCCAAGCUCUUGCAUCUUGAAUAGCUUUAAGAACAGAGUCUUUCUCAGUAAAGAUUCUGUUUUCAAAAAGGAGUUUGUUCCUAUUGGUCCACAGAAUCCAUAGGAUCCAGGGAUAUAGUGGCGUGCUUCCAAGGCCAAGAGGGGGAAGAGAUAUCAUCUUCCGGCAUCGAUCAAGUAGUUCUGAGACAGAUGAGACUCCAUGUGGGUUCGGUUUAUUGAUGCACGGGAGUAGUUCCCACACCUGGUCAGCAAAAGGACAGUGUAGUAACACGUGAAGUUCAGUUUCCAAUUCGCCACAUCGUUUGCAAGUAGCGGCAGCAUCAAUUCCUCUGUGUACCAAGACUGAACCCACAGGGAGCGCUUUGUUGUUGGCCUUCCAAAGAAAAUGUUUAAUCUUUGGUGAUGCUUCUAUCUGCCAAAUACACUUGUUCCAAUUGAAAGCUAGGUCAGAUUGAUCUCCAUUGCAGAGUUUUGCUAUAGCAUAGCCUGAUUUCGUGGAGUACACGCCUGAGGCAUUGGGCAGCCACACUCUCUCAUCUUGCAUUCCAAGGGUACUGGGAAUCAGUCUCCGGAUUGCUUCCUCGUAUUGGGGGAGGUUACUACUAAUAAGAUCAAGGUCCCAGUCUGUAGACGAUGGUUUCAUAAGUUUGUUCACCCGCCAGUUACGAUUUUCUUCAGUGGGUGGUCCCAUGAUACACAUUGGUUCAACAGUUGAUAGCCAUGGUUCCUUCCAUAUCUCCACUUCAUUCCCUGACCCUAUUGCCCAGCCUAAUCCCUUAACGAGCAAAUCACGUCCCACCAAGAGACCUCUCCAGCCAUGUGAGGCACUUGCUGGAACCUUCACGUCCAAGAAAGAAGAGUUAAUGCAAUACUUGCCUAGAACGAUUUUUGCCAGUAGGGAAGAAGGCUCCUUGAGGAUUCGCCAAGACAGUUUCGCAAGCAUUGCAUCAUUGAAUUGUGCAAUUUCACGGAACCCUAAACCGCCAGCGUUCUUCGGCUUUGCGAGUUUUUCCCACGCAAUCCAACUCAUCUUUUUUACACUAGGGGAAGCAUCCCACCAAAACCUAGUAAGGAUAGAUUGGAUUUGUUUGCACAAGGACAUGGGAAGUUUGAAACAAGACAUGGCGUAAGUCGGCAUAGCUGCUAGGACUGAUUUGAGUAGCACCAACUUCCCCGCUCCGGAGAGGAAUCUCGUUGUCCAACUAUGUGAGCGUUGUCUUAUGCGAUCCACCAGUGCCGCGAAAAUGUCUCGUUUUUUCCGACCAAAGUGCUCCGGUAAGCCUAGAUACUUGCCGACUCCUCCCUCGUUGAGAAUUUGGAACUGGUCUCUUACUCGUCGUUUCGCUUCCCCAGGUGUUUUCGAUGAAAAGGUAAUGGAGGAUUUAUCCAGAUUGAUGCAUUGACCUGAGGCGUCUCCAUACUUUUUUAGGAUCAUGAUGAGUUUCGCACAGCUUUUGUGAUCCGUCCUACUAAAAAGCAUAGUAUCAUCUGCGAACAAGAGGUGGUUGAUGGAUGGACUGUGACGAGAGACUUUGACUCCAAUAACAUCACCCUGAAGUUGGGCUUUCUUACAGAGGCCGGAUAGAACUUCCGUGCAAAGGAUAAACAAAUAUGGUGAAAGGGGAUCGCCUUGUCUGAUUCCUCGGGUCGGAUUAACUCUUCCAUGUGCCGCUCCGUUGAUGAGAUAAGAGUACGAGACAGAGGUCACACAGUUCAUGAUCCACCUGACCCACAGGUCGUGGAAACCCAGCCGCGUGAGAACAUUCCGUAAAAAGCUCCAUUCGAUGCGGUCGUAUGCUUUACUCAUGUCCGUCUUGAUAGCCAUGCUACACCGGACGGUGGCGCUUGAAUGUUGAAGAUAGUGUAGAAUCUCGUGAGUUAUAAGAACGUUAUCCGCAAUAGAUCUUCCUUUUACGAAUGCGGACUGGUGCUCUGAUAUUAGUCCGGUGAGUAGUGGCUGGAGCCGUCGUGUGAGCAUUUUGGCUAUGAUCUUGUAGUGUGUGUUGCAAAGAGCGAUAGGACGGUAGUCCGACACCUUUUUCGGGCUUGAGAAUUUUGGAAUGAGCCUUACGUGAGUUUCAUUCUGUCGCGUGUCUAGGGUUCCAGUAGUGAAGAAACUUGUGAUAUCUUCCACCACAUCAUCUCCUAUAAUGUCCCAAAAUGAUUGGUAAAAGCUGGCCGAGAAACCAUCUGGUCCCGGUGCUUUAUCAGGGUGGAUAGAGAAUAAUGCUUCUUUGAUCUCUAGUGCUGUCGGAGGAGCAAUCAAUGUAUCGUUCAUCUCUGUGGUGACCAUCGGGGAGAUCCCUUCCUCCACUACCUGAGAUGAAUCAGACAUUUGGCAUGAGAAAAUCCGAGUAAAGUACUCGGUUAUGCUCAGUACUAUCUCCUCUUCCUUGUAGACUGCAUUUCCUUCACUGUUUUCAAUUACCGAAAACUUGUUGAUAGCUCGACGACCUCGGGUAGAUGCGUGAAAAAAACUGGUGUUGCGAUCACCACUUUGGAGCCAUUGGAUACGGCUCCGUUGCCGCCAGUAGAGUUCCUCCUCUUUAUAUGCUGAUUCAAGUGUAGCCGAGAGAGAAGCUAUGAUCACCGGGUCCGGAGCCAAGCUAGAUAGAGCAGACUCUAGCUCCACUUGUGCCUUCUGGAUCGCUAGAUUGCUGUUAAGGUUUUGUUCCUUCACCCAAGCGAUGAUGCUAUGUCUGAUCUUUCCCACUCUUGUAAAAACAGAGUCAUUUGGAUCGCUUGUCCAUUGAUCAGCCACUAUCUUGCGUAUCUCAGGUUUGUCCUUCAGCCUUCUAUCAAACCUGAAUAAUCCUUUCUUCUUGCGGGUAGAGACAUCAAAGUGUACCACAAUUGGCCUGUGAUCAGACCCUUCGAAACGGAGAUACUCGCAAUGUCCAGCUGGGAAUCGUUCAAACCAAGAGCAGUUUCCCAUAGCUCGAUCCAGUCUUGAUUGAAUGAAAUAGUUGUAUCUUGUUCCUCUCCACGACAAAUGAUUCCCGGAGUGUGGAAGGUCCCAAAGUCCCAUUUGAGAAACGAAGCUCCUAAACGAGAGGAAAGAUCCUUCCCAACGAGCUGGGCCUCCAACUUUUUCCGAGUUGUCGAGGAGAUCAUUGAAAUCACCGGUUAUCAACCAGGACUCAUCUCUAUCCGCCCCAAUCUCAGUUAGUUUUCUCCAAAACUCCGGACGAUCAGAAGCAUUUGGAGCACCAUAAAUAAACGAAACAAAAGAGAAAGUUCCCCGAGCUUCUAUUCGUGUAUCAAUUAUAUUUGGGGAGGAGAAUAAGAUUUCAACCUGAAUUUCAUCUUUCCAGGAUAGGCAGAGACCUCCCGCCAAGCCCACCGGAGGGACCGUGAAGUGGUUGGUGAGGUCAGAGUUUUUGAAGAGUUUAAACAGCGCUUCAUCUUGAUUUUUAGUUUCCAUUAGGAACAGAACAGCCGGAGAGAUCCGCUUGCGGAAUUCUCCGAUACGCUGGAUCGUCAAGGGGGUCCCAAUACCUUGACAAUUCCAGCUCACGCAUGCUAAGGAAGAGGUUUUGGGGGAACCCGAAAAUCCUUCCCCUUCUUAACCGUUGGAGGAAUUAUUUUAGUGUUCAGUGCUAAUUUGCGUGUUGCAGCUGAUGUUCCUCUUCCUCCGGCCACUAUCGCAUCGAGCAUCAGUUUUCUUUUAGGAGAUGGAUGGACUUUAGUAACCCGUCGUUUCUUAAUAGCGUGGCCUUGUGCUGGGCUGUUCCCAACCUUUCUAAGGGUCUGAGAAUUCCCAACUUUCCUUUUUCCUGCAGCUUUAGCCAGUGCAGCCAGAGUCAGCUGAUUUUCCUCACUUUCUUCAGUUUCAGUUUGGAGGAGGGGGCCUAAGCGGAGUGAAACAUGGAUUCUGUCUUCGCUGAGAGUCCUGAUAGGUGAUCGUUCCGAGGGGCCCAGCCUACCCGAGUCAAAAACAUUAGAACUCGAUGGUCGAGUAAUAGAAUUUAUCACAGGGAGAUGCAUAUUUUCAUCAACUUCCUGGAGCUCCACAUUAUGGAUGUGUUUAGAGUUGGAGUUUGACUCUGAUCUUUCAUUUAGACUGGUUCUCUGCGUGUGGACCGAAAGCCUAUCCUUUGCACAGAUUCUUUCCUCGCUCUUUGAGUUGGAACCACGCGGGUCUGAGAGACGAUCUGCGAUGCUGUUUCGCCUUUGCACUGUUAUGGCAUUUGUUCCGGGGGACUGGUUCGACCUAGAUCUCUCUUCUCUUAUAGGUGAUAUCCCUGGCUUGUUAUGCAUGGGAGGUGCAAGGGGCUCCCGAGAAUGGGAGACAUAGUCAGCUGACGGUUGAUCUCGUCCUUCUCUACGGGGCGGAGUUCUUCUUGAUGAUGGGUUACUUCUGAUAGAAACAUUCCUAUCAUCAUAACGUCUCUUAUUUUCCUCAUAGCCAGAGCUCCUUUCAGAAACAAUCCUAGAGGGAUCGUUAUGAGAAGAGCUUCGAGCAUCUCUUGGGUCCGCAUAUUUGUAGUUAGACCAGCGAGCUCCCUCUCUCGAUUGUCCUUGUUGUAGACGAGUUUGUCUCCUGCCUUCCUGCCGCCUUUUGCUUUCUUCGAUUCUUUCCAAGGUGUUGUGUUGGGAGAUGCCCAACAUCCUCUGAUCUCUUCCUUGUCUAGAUGGAGGGCGAAGCUCGCAAUCUUCAUCUUCAUGUGACAGAGACUUACAGAAGAAGCAAUGUUUUUCAAGCUUCUCAUAUUCCAACUCCACUUCAACAACUUUCUUUGAAGGAAGUUCGAUGUCCAUACGCAUGAUGAGUGGUUUUAGCCCAUUGAUCUGAACUUUCAUUCUUGCCUUCUCAAAGUCACGUAGUUCAAUAGGGCCUAGGGCUGCUCCUAUGAUGUCGAAAGUUUCAUCAGUCCAGUAAUGGAGAGGAACUCCAUGGACCUUAAUCCAGAACGAGAUCGUCGCAGGGAACGAGUCCGAUACUAUCGGUUCCCAUCUCUGAAGGAUCAUCAUCCACUUCUUAAAAUGAAAAGGCGAUUUUGAGAGUAUGGCUUGAAGGUCCUGUUCCGAUUCAAACCCAAAUUGGAACAAGGACGGGCCCAAAUCUCUUCCAGUGAUUCUGCCUACCACAUUCCAAUGUUGAAGAAAGAAGUCAACCAGUGCUCUAGUCUUUUGGAUUGAGGAAUUGGUGACUCUUCCUAUGAGUGUGAAUCUGUUGCGCUCUAUGAGUUCAGAGCUAUCCGAUGCCGGGAUUCUGACAAGCGGUUUACGGAAAGGAGGACGUUCCUCUUUCCAUUUUCCUUUGUCAGCUCUUGAGUAGCGGUUCGCCAUUGGCUCGUCGGAAUAAAGUAAGAAGUUCCGCCGGUGAUAGAUACGCGAGACUACAGGGAGUAGUAAGGAUACCGUAUGACGAUGGGGACUACAAGGAUGUAGUAAAGUGAGAAACCAGUAGCUAGUGGUUUCAUCCAACCAUAAGGCUGUCGCAGUUGCAGGAGCCUAACAUGGUGGUAUGGUCGGAAUCAGCGAACGUCGGCGGUGAAAAUGGUCGGAGAAAACGGUCCCUCCGACACGGUCGGGGGAAGAACCCGGCGUGUAAAGACCAGAGAAGUCUUUUAUCCACCAGUAACUUCCUUUCCCGGUAAGCAGUUCAAAAACCUAGAGAAGAGAUUGCUGGACACUAGCCGAAAGGGGAAGGUCAACUUUGCAGACAGUCGGGAAUCUAGCGGUUAAAGCCCAAUAUCGUAAGGUGUGCCUGGGAGAGAAUUUGAACGUGCGAAUCCAUUGCGCUGUCCUAACUGUAUCCUUCUUUCUUGUUUUAUCUUUCUUUGUAUUCUUCAACUUGGUACGCCCCAUAUUAUUAUACGCACGCACUUAUGUUUUCUUGUAAAUAUCUGCAUAACUAUAAAGUUUUAAUUUGCUACGGGCAGCACUAGGGUUUAGUGCAAUAGCAGUCCUCGUUUCUCCCCCACAUUUCUCUGACACUACUAAAAUUUUAGUAUUGACAAGAAAUACUUUGGACUUCAUUCGAUUGUAAUAGCUAUUGAUAUAUGUGUGUGUGUUCUUUUGUAUAACCGAAACUCUUAGACGAGUCCAUAUCUCAGGAUUUUUUGAAAACCGAUCCAGACCCGCGGUUGAACCGGUAAAUCCCGUGACCUAGAAAAAAAACGGUUUGGAUUUUGCGAAAAAUCCAAUAUUUAGAAACCCGCAAAAAUCCGCAAAAAUCCAGUAAAACCCGGAACCCGAUACCGGUUGAAUCACUGGUUGAACCAAUAAAUAAAUUUUACUUCUUUAUUUUUUAUUUUUUAAUUAUGUUUUUAGAUUAUGUUUUAUAUUCUAAGUUUCCAAUUAACAAGUUAGGUACUGGCAAAAAAAAAAGUUAAGUUUUCCCUUUUCAGUUUUAUAUUUGUGAUUUUUAGAUUUUGAAAAAGAUUUCACUAUGCCACCUGAAGAAAAUGAAGUGAACGAUGAUAGAAAGAACCAAAAUUAGUUGAUGUGAUUUGGUGUUAGUUUAUUUUCGUUAUUGAUAAUUUAUUACAAUGAUCUUUUACUUUUGGUUUAUUUUGUAUUUGAAGUUUAAUUUAUUAACAUUAGAUAUUUAAAUAUUUAUAAAUUUUAUGUCUUGAUUUUUUUAGAUGUCAUAACUCUUACCUUAUUAGAGAAAAUUUUAAGUAGUCUAAACUAUUUUUUGAUAUUUUGUAUAUCAAAUGAAAAUAAAAAUAUAAAAACUAAAGUUAAGUAUUUUCUAAAUGUUUUUAAACAUAAAAUAUAUACAUAUCCAAACUAUUAUUUUAUGUUUUAAAAAACUUUUAGAAAAUAUUAAACUUUAGUUUCUAUAUUUUUAUUUACAUAGUAGAUAUAUUAUUAUAUAAUAAAAUUAAUUCAUUUAUUAACCCACGGUUCAUCCGCGGUCGAUCCAGUGAUCCAACAACCCGAUAAGUCGUCCGGGUUCAGUGUCCGGGUCGGGUUUAAAAACAUUGUAUUCAAUACAAGUUAGUUAAUCCGAUAGACAAGACAACUUUAUAUUUGUCUCGUUGUAGUUUUUUUUGGAUCAUCAUUAGAGAUCGAACCAUGAGGCCCUAUUAAUACAUAACACCAAUGUGUGAGAAGUUGUAGCCCAAAAAAUAAAGUAUGAACAGUUUCUUAACUUGUGUUUCAAAAAAAAAAAUAAAGUGUUUCAAAAAAAAAAAGAACAGUUUCUUAACUAGGGGAUCCCUCUUAAGUAAAGAUAAGAUGGUUAGCCUAGGGCGGUCCACACAUUUCCGUAAAUAUGUAAACAGGUACACUACAAGAAAACAGCGAUAUUCUGAAGGACAUUCCGACGGAAAAUAAAAUCCUCGGAAUAUACCGAGGAAUUUCCGAGGAAAUUCCGAGGAAACACAAAAUUGGGUUUCCUCGGAAUAUACCGACGGAAUUUCGAGGAAACUACAGUCCGUCAGAAUAUUCCGAGGAAAUUCCGAGGAAAACUGUGUUCCUCGGAAAAAACCGAUGAAUUCCGAGGAAAUAUUAUAGCCGUUGGAGAGCCGUUGGGGGAUUUUACAAAAUUCCGAGGAAAUUCCGACGAACUAGCNNNNNNNNNNNNNNNNNNNNNNNNNNNNNNNNNNNNNNNNNNNNNNNNNNNNNNNNNNNNNNNNNNNNNNNNNNNNNNNNNNNNNNNNNNNNNNNNNNNNNNNNNNNNNNNNNNNNNNNNNNNNNNNNNNNNNNNNNNNNNNNNNNNNNNNNNNNNNNNNNNNNNNNNNNNNNNNNNNNNNNNNNNNNNNNNNNNNNNNNNNNNNNNNNNNNNNNNNNNNNNNNNNNNNNNNNNNNNNNNNNNNNNNNNNNNNNNNNNNNNNNNNNNNNNNNNNNNNNNNNNNNNNNNNNNNNNNNNNNNNNNNNNNNNNNNNNNNNNNNNNNNNNNNNNNNNNNNNNNNNNNNNNNNNNNNNNNNNNNNNNNNNNNNNNNNNNNNNNNNNNNNNNNNNNNNNNNNNNNNNNNNNNNNNNNNNNNNNNNNNNNNNNNNNNNNNNNNNNNNNNNNNNNNNNNNNNNNNNNNNNNNNNNNNNNNNNNNNNNNNNNNNNNNNNNNNNNNNNNNNNNNNNNNNNNNNNNNNNNNNNNNNNNNNNNNNNNNNNNNNNNNNNNNNNNNNNNNNNNNNNNNNNNNNNNNNNNNNNNNNNNNNNNNNNNNNNNNNNNNNNNNNNNNNNNNNNNNNNNNNNNNNNNNNNNNNNNNNNNNNNNNNNNNNNNNNNNNNNNNNNNNNNNNNNNNNNNNNNNNNNNNNNNNNNNNNNNNNNNNNNNNNNNNNNNNNNNNNNNNNNNNNNNNNNNNNNNNNNNNNNNNNNNNNNNNNNNNNNNNNNNNNNNNNNNNNNNNNGUCCAUCACGAGGGGGAAGAUCUCCAAGGAGCGCACAAUUACGCGAUCAGCUCGGACCAGGGCCGAACCACGGGUAAUACGUGGACUCGCAAUCAAGGAUAUGAUGAAAACACCUUCUGCGAGUUCCACCAGUCCCGAGGACACUCCACGACUAACUGCAAAGUCUUGGGAGCAAGGCUUGUCGCGAAGCUACUAGCUGGAAAGCUCUCGGAAGUGACCAGCGUGAAAGAUCUCAUCCUCGAGACCGAUCGCCCCCCGAAGGCGGACAGAAAUCCUCCCACGGAGAAAUCUCCUCAAAGAAACCAAUCUAGGGAUAAACGCGGCAGAAGGCCGGACGACAAGGGGAACGAUAACAAUCGUCGCAGAGUCAACAUGAUCAUUGGAGGAUCGCAAUUCUGCAACGAUACGGUUUCGGCCAUCAAGGCUUACCAGCGGAAGGCGGAGUCGAGCGCAAACUGGCCUACAUGGUCUCCUACCCGAGAUGAUCAGAAUUGCUCAAUCACCUUCACGAAGGAGGAAGACGGCGGGAUCGAUCAACCUCACUGCGAUCCGCUCGUCAUAGAUCUCGUCAUACGAGAUCUGGAAGUCGGCAGAGUACUCAUUGACACGGGAAACACGGUCAAUGUAAUCUUCCGCGAUACUCUCAAUCGGAUGAGCAUCAAACUGGGAGAAGUAACUCCAACGCCGAAACCGCUCACGGGUUUUUCAAGCGCAGUAUCGAUGACCCUCGGGUCAAUCCAGCUGCCAGUCAUGGCCAAGGAGAUCACGAAAAUCGUUGAAUUCACGGUGGUUGAUCAUCCUGUCAUCUACAAUGUGAUCAUGGGAACCCCAUGACUCAACGCCAUGUAAGCUGUUCCAUCAACGUACCACCUGGGUGUCAAAUUCCCGAACCCCAAACAGAGUCGCAGCUAUCUGGGGAUGUCAGAAACAGUCGCGACUAUGCUUCCUCGCGGAGCACAAGUUAAGGCAGAUGAUGACUUCUGCAACGGCAAAUCGCAAGCGCACGAAGAUAGAUAAAUCUUCGGCCAAAAAUGUUUCAAGAAAAGACGAUUUAACAUCGUCUGCUGACGCAAACGCUUCGGGUGUCGAAACUCAACAUGAGUCCGAAGCCGACACUACGACUCAACCGGAACAUCCGGAAGAGAACGCUGACCCGGCCACGGUCAUCACGAUCAAGGCGGUCAGCACGGCGACAAUCGCCGAAUUCUGAGAAGAUGCUCGAUUCGUACCAUACAAGUCAUAUAAGCCGAGAACCUAUCGCGGACUUUAAAUCGGUGCGAAUCAGGUAGAAAUCGCAACAGGAAAAUCGAUAGCCGGCUAGUCACCGCACAAACCUUAAAACCGAGAGUAAACCUAGGUCUUGCCCUAAACCCAUCGCAUUGGUCUCAGAGAUCUCAAAGACAUGAUAUCUAAAUGAUACGAGAUCCUAAAACAUGUCUCUCCGUUCAUAUCUCAACGUUCCCGAAAGUUCGUAAGAAUAAAUAAUUAUUACGAAAACUCACGUCUCGAACAAACCAACAGAUCGAACGCCUCAACGAAGAUAAAUGUGAGAAGACAACUCAUGUUUACUUCAAACCUACUCAGUAACUCAAACAAACAUCCAUUAUAUAUAAACUGCAUACCGGUAGGGGAUCAAAGCCACCAACGGCCACUCCCGAUAAAAAUAAAAACGGCCAGAACAGGCCCAUACAAAGUUCGAAAGGCCACACUCGGCCGCAGAAUACUAGAGAAGGGGAAAACUCCUUCCUGUCAAGCAUUCACCUCUCACAAAUCAAAGUCAAAAUUCCCGGAAAAGGAAGCUCCGCAUGCAUCCGCAGGAUCGUUCACUUCCUCAUCGCCACCGGCAAACUCGGUCGUAGUCUCUAUGGUAUCAGGAGAAACUGGGAUGGGAUCCCAGAAUCCCUGAAUCCUCCCGUCGAGUGGAGAAAUGAGCGUCUCAGCGUGAGCAUGAUCCUUCAUGCCGCCCUUCAUUAACUCCAUCUCCCUCUCGAAAAUGUAGUCAUCCGCCCGCGUCUUCCAAAGGCUCCUGCUGAGAAAAUAUUCCUUCCAUAGAAACAUCAUGAAAAAAUCCACAAUAAAUAAACACACAUAUUUGACUGAUAGGUGGUGCAUCUCUGUGUAGAUCUCUUACUAUUUUCAGUAUAUUUUUCUUCAUGCAUAUAUCUGGAAACAAAUCAUAUGAUUAUGGAUCAUACCAAUAAAUAGAGAAAGAAAAAAAAGAUAUUGAGUUAAAUUUGGCCACACCGAAUUAUUCUUACCAUGAAUGCAAGUUUGAAAUUUGACUUAUUGGUAAGACCACCAUUAAAGGGUCUGUUUUGUCAUAUUUGGUUCUUUGAUUAUAAAUUGUUCAGGUAUUCUAUAUGCAUUGGGACGAAUGCUUUUAGACAUCUCCACUAUACAGAAAGAUCAAUUCUUUACGGGUUAAGGUUUUUAAAGCGGCUGCAACGGCAGAAGCGUCCACCUCUAAACGCACAAGGAGAAGCACCAGAACUCACAAGAACAUACAUGCUACUGUUUUUUCUUCUUGUGCGUUUUGGUGUCCUUUUUCUUGUGCAUAUAGAGGUCGACCCUGCUGUCCCUUCUGCCUUUGCUGCCACUGCUGCCCCCUCCUCUUCUUCAUGUGCGUUAUGGAGGAUGAUCAAAUGCAGUAUCAUGAAUACAUGUUCUAGGAUUUUUGAUCACUAAGGAGAUGGUGCAAUGCAAUUAAUAGUUAAUGAAUAUAUCCAACAACCUUGUAUAAGUAGAUCUUUUAGUACUCCUUCCCUUUUAAUAGUAUAGAUUCCUUAAGAUUCAUUUUAUAUGAUGUUUAUGUUGAAUGCAUAAAUAUUAUUAUUAUCAUUAUUCUUUAAAAUGAUUGAAUUGUUCCUAGUUUAUAAACGAUGCUAAAAAUGAUAAGAGAGAAGAAUCAUAUAGACAAUAUUUGGAAAAUGUUCUGAAAUUCUUACAUUGAAAACACAACAUAUAUAUGAUCAAAAGAAAUGGUACAAUUAUUUUUACUAAAACAUUUUCUUAAUCCAGUGUUUAUUUAUACUUUUGUAGGAUACAGGUCACGGUGAGCACGAAAUUAAAUCUAGGUGGAUUCCUACAAAAGUAAAAGUGGAAGAGCAUGUAGUUGUUCCAAAUAUAGAUCAAAACAUUGAAAAUCCUGAUCAGUUUCUAGAGGAUUAUACAACAAACAUGGCUAUUUCUCCAAUGGAUAAAUCUAAAGCUUUAUGGGAGCGUCUAAUUCAAUGUUUAUGCAUGGUCGUGGCAGCAUAAAAUUAAUCAAGCAGAUGGCUGGGAAGACGAUUGGCGUUAGGAACAUAGAAGGAAAAGGAAGAUAACCUUAUGUUAUUAUAAAUUAAAGCUGUCAUGGUCUACGACAUUCUUCACAGGACAAGGUAUGUAUUUUCUUUCUCUUUUUUUUUCUUACAACUUUUUCUAUUGAACUGUGGAAGUGUUAUUUUUAAUUAUUAUUUUCUUCUUUGUCAUGAAGUCACCUUUACUUCUAAAAUGUUUGAGCUACAAAAUACAUGCGAUAAAAAAUAAAAAGUAUGAAUCUUUUAUUUUCUGUUAGUUUAACAUUAUUCUAAUUUAGAUAAUUCUAAAAAUCUGUACAUGUGUGCUUUAUUUUCGAAUAUUAUCAUCAAAGUUAUACACCAAUCUAUGAGCAUUGACAUGUCGUAAUUUUCUGCCUGAAUGAGCCAAGAUGUGAUGGCAAGCUUACAUUUACAGUCUCCAUUAUCAAGGAAAAUGUAUUGUGUAUAAAGGUUGUAGAUAAUUUUUUAAAAAAGGUCAAUAUGAGACAUUCAUGGAGCUUUUUCAUUUUCAUUGCCACAGUUCGUUUAAUGGAAAUGAUGAAUUAAACUGUUGCAUCCUAGGUGGCAUCAAAGAACAAUAUAGUUUUGAUAUUGGUAUUUAUCAGUCACGUUCUGAUUAUGGGAUGUCAUGACAGACACAUUUGAUAAGAUGAUAUUUUAGUAUAAUUGUAUAAAUAUUUGAUCUAUCAUGACAUCUCGAGAUGAGAGCAUUGUAUAGUUAGAGUUAAUUAGGAAAGACCCAAAAUUUUGUAUUCAGAGCAUUGUGUGAUUUCAUUAGGAUAGGAUCAUCGUAUAGUUAGAUUUAAUUAGGGUAGGACCAAAAAUAAUUAAUAGUUAAUGAAUAUAUCCAACAACCUUGUAUAAGUAGAUCUUUUAGUACUCCUUCCCUUUUAAUAGUAUAGAUUCCUUAAGAUUCAUUUUAUAUGAUGUUUAUGUUGAAUGCAUAAAUAUUAUUAUUAUCAUUAUUCUUUAAAAUGAUUGAAUUGUUCCUAGUUUAUAAACGAUGCUAAAAAUGAUAAGAGAGAAGAAUCAUAUAGACAAUAUUUGGAAAAUGUUCUGAAAUUCUUACAUUGAAAACACAACAUAUAUAUGAUCAAAAGAAAUGGUACAAUUAUUUUUACUAAAACAUUUUCUUAAUCCAGUGUUUAUUUAUACUUUUGUAGGAUACAGGUCACGGUGAGCACGAAAUUAAAUCUAGGUGGAUUCCUACAAAAGUAAAAGUGGAAGAGCAUGUAGUUGUUCCAAAUAUAGAUCAAAACAUUGAAAAUCCUGAUCAGUUUCUAGAGGAUUAUACAACAAACAUGGCUAUUUCUCCAAUGGAUAAAUCUAAAGCUUUAUGGGAGUUUCACCUAGUGAAACUGAAAUAUCACAUGCUGGAUCUGUAGCCGUGGCUAGAUUUCACCAUUCUCUAGGUGAUGGAAUGGUGAAAAAAAUGGUCUCGUGUCUCUUUUACUAGUUUGUACUCGAAAAACAUGCGACCUGAGGCAUUACCUACUUUCGUAGUCCCAAAGAAAAGCAAUGCGAGGCACGCUUGUUGGGCAUUACAUUAGUUACUUGGCUUGGUUCAUAGUAAGACUAUUGUUUCACACUUGUGUUGAAGUUUUCAAGUCCAUGGUUAUCGUAUGCUUCCCCAGAGACAAUGAAACACCUCUUAAAGAUAAACCAAGUGCUACAGUUAGCAUUAGUAAGUUUAUACAUGGAAUUAUUAGUUUGGAUGAUGUGAAAGUGGUCAAGAAUGCAAUGAACAUAGUAUGUUAUGUUGCUUAAUUAUUUUAUGAUUAUUAUAAAUUAAUAUUCUUUUAAUGGUGUUGAUUUAAUUGUCUGUUUUAAUUAGACUGUAACUGAUGUUUUUUUUCUUGGAAUAGUACAAGCUGGUCUUUCACGAUAUUGAAUAAUACUACUAGAUUCUGACAUGCCCUUUUAAGGGUGGGUAUAAUUUUUGUUUUAUAUUUUUUUUAGAAAUUUAAUUUUUAGAUUUGUGUUUUUUAGUCAUAUUUGUGUUUUUUGUAUAAUAUUUCUCUUAAAUGAUUAAUAAGAGGUUUUAAUAAUUGUAUUAAAAUAGUUGGACCAUACCUAUAUUAAUAGGUCAUGUUCAUGUUUUAAUAGAAUAGAUGCACUAAAUUAUUAUCAAACAUUAUAUUGAUUAAAGUACAUAAUCAUAUUGUUUUCUAAAAUAAUGACUUCUUUUGUAGGAAAAGGGACUGACAAAACAUAUACAAAGCUAUGUAAAAAAAGUUUAUCAUCAAUAUGAUACCUGAUUCUCAUUGCCUUUGUGAUCACAUCAUCGAGUCUCUCCAGUCCAUGAAAUUGGCUGUUUUGGAAAUGGGUUCUCACAAGCUGGAGGUUCAACUGUUGUUUCGCUCUUAAGAUAAAUCCAUGGAUAUUAGAAUUUUAAUUUCAUGAAAAAAGAUACUUUUCUUAGAAACCUCAUGAAAACAUUCACAGUAAUUUAUACACAGAUUCGAUCGGCUGAUAGUUGGUGCAACUCGACUUAGAUAUUACUCUUUUCAAUAUACUGUAUCGUUCUUAUCGUCCAGUACAUAUCUGGAAACAAAUCAUAUGGAUUAGAUCAAAAGGGAAAGAAAAAAAGCCUACAAAGUCACUAUAAGGCCACCAUAAAUAUUUUGUUAGUGUUGAAAGUGUAUAUACAUACAUGUGCAGAUAAUAAUGAGUAAAAAUAGUUAUUGAAAAUAAAAACUAUUAAAUUUAAAAAUACAAUUAAGCAACAAUAAUAUACUUUCCGCAGAAACCUCAAAAAAAUGCAUGAAUAUUGGAAUUUCAUGAGAAAAUACCAUAGAAACCUCAUGAAAACAUCCACAAUAAAUAAACACACAUAUUUGGCUGAUAAGUGGUGCAUCUCUGUGUAGAUCUCUUACUCUUUUCAGUAUAUUUUUCUUCAUGCAUAUAUCUGGAAACAAAUCAUAUGAUUAUGGAUCAUACCAAUAAAUAGAAAAAGGAAAAAAAGAUAUUGAGUUAAAUUUGGCCACACCGAAAUGAUCCUUUCCAUGAAUGCAACUUUGAAAUUUGACUUAUUGGUAAGGCCACCAUUAAGGGAUCUAUUUCGUCAUUUUUGGUUCUUUGAUUAUAAAAUUGUUCAGGUAUUCUAUAUGCAUUAGACCGAAUGCUUUUAGACAUCUCCACUAUACAGAAAGAUCAAUUCCUUACGGGUUAAAGUUUUCAAUGCGGCUGCAGCGGCAGAAGCGUUCACCUCUAAACGCACAAGGAGAAGCAGCAGAACUCACAAGAAGGCACAUACAUGCUACUGCUUUUUCUUCUUGUGCGUUCUGGUGAUUCUUCUUGUGCAUUUAGAGGUCGACCCUGCUGUCUCUUCUGCCUUUGCUGCCAAUGCUGCCCCCACCACUUCUUCAUGUACGUUCUGGAGGAUGAUCACUAUGGAGAUGGUGCAAUGGGUUUCUUGUUCAUGUGACAUGACCGCAACGUAAACUACUCUUAAUUGUGCAGUAACCUCUGAAAGUAAAUCCAAAUCUCUAACUUAUAGAUUUUUUUUAAUAGUUAUGUAUUUUCUGUAGGUUAAAUUUGCAUGAACAGAUUUUCAAUUUAUCAUCAAUUGCUUAAUAUAAAGAAAAAUCCUUAAAAGAUUGCAUGCUUAGGUUUAAUAAAUGGUUUAUAAACAUGUAUAGUUUUGCAAUGAAUUCAUCUUUUAGAAGUCUUAUCUUAUUUUUAUACGUGAUUUCUUCCUAUUCAUUUUUCUGUUUACACAUAUUUUGUUUGUUUAUGACUUUUUAAUAUCUCAUUUCUUCACUCUAUUUAUGGUUUAUAAGCAUUAUUGGUCAGUUGUUUGCUGCUAAAUAAUUUGCGUCGAUCACACUGUCUAAUUCAAUGUUUAUGCAUGGUCGUGGCAGCAUGAAGUUAAUCAAGCAGAUGGCUACUAGGAAGAAGAUUGGCGUUAGGCCCUUAACGUAGAAGGAAAAGGAAGAUAAACUUAUGUUAUUAUAUAUUAAAGCUGUUAUGGUCUACGAGCUUUAAUAUAUAUUUUUGUUCGAGCUUUAAUACAUUCUUCGAGCUUUCUCACAGGACAAGGUAUGUAUUUUUGUUCUUUUUUUUUUUCUUACAACAUUAUCUUUUGAACUGUGGAAGUGUUAUUUUUAAUUAUUAUUUUGUUUUUUGUCAUGAAGCCACCUUUACUUCUAUAAUGUUUGAGCUACAAAAUACAUGCGAUAAAAAAAAAUAAAAAGUACGAAUCUUUUAUUUUCUGUUAGUUUAUCAAUAUUGUAAUUUAGAUAAAAAUCUGUACAUGUGUGCUUUAUUUUCGAAUAUUAUCAUCAAAAUUAUAAAAUUGUAUGAAUUCUGAAACCAAAUUUAAAGUACCUAUUUUUAACCAAAAAAACAAAAUUUAUGUUGUGGAAAUUUAGAUCUUUUAUCUUCUAUUUCAUUGCUAAUAUGAAUGGCUUCUUCUCUUCUCAUGCCACACUUUUAUUUUUUUUGCGACAAAUCAAGGUGGGAAAUCAAUUUACAUCUAUAUGGAUUCUAAUAAUGAAAUACUGAAAUCCCAAGGAAAAUCUUUACAUGAUUGCUUUGUUUCAGAAAUUCAUAUCUCUCUUUGUGUUUUAUUCUAAAAAAAAUUAUUAUCAACACACAUUUUGAUAUACAGUUGUGGAAAAGAAUUGCCCAUUUUUCCCAAUGUAAUGUGGAAUCGCCAAGUUAGGCACUAUUUAAAAUCAAUCUUUCUAAUGAUAUCUUUCAUUUUUAGACAAUAAGUAACUGAAUGUUUCAUGCUCAUUUAGUGCAGCAUAUAUAUAUAUACACAUCUUGCAAAACACACAAGUGUCUUAUGUAUUUGCAGGACAUGAAACAUCAUUUGACGUUAUCACAUGUCUUGUCUGACUUUAACUCUCGGGUAAUAAAGAACAUGAGGAAAUUAAAGAUCUUUAAGAACGCAUGGUAUUUCAUGGAGGAUUAAGGCUCAUGAAUACCAUGUGUUCUUGAAGAUCUUUAAUUUCCUCGUCUGCUUCAUUACCCGAGAGUUAAACUCAAACAAGGCAUGUGAUAAUAAUGUCAAAUGAUGUUUCACGCCCUGCACAUACAUAAGAAAUUUGUGUGUUUUGCAAGAUGUAUAUAUAUAUGCUGCACUAACGAGUAUGAAAUAUUCAGAUAAUUAUUGUUUAAAAAUGAAAUAUAUGAUUAGAAAGAUAGAUUCUAAAUAGUUCCUACCUCGAACUUUGCAUAUUUCAUUGGGAAAAUGGGCAAUGAAUCUCUUCCACAACUGAAUUUUUGAAAUGUGUGUAGAUAAUGGAAUUGUCAGAAGAAAACACAAAGAGAGAUAUGAAUUUUCGAAACGAAAAAACCAUGUAAAGAUUUACCUUGGGAUUUUGGUAUUUUGUUAUUAGAAUCCAUAUAGUUGUAAAUUGAUUUCCAUCUGGAUUUGUCCUAAUAAGAAAUAAAAGUGUAGCAUAAGAAUAGAAGAGGUCAUUCAUCUUAACUAUGAAUUAUAAGAUAAAAAAAUCUACAAUUCCACAACAUAAAGUUUCUUUUGCUUUAAACUCAAUACCUAAAAUUUAGUUUCAAAAAGUUUAGGAAGAUUCAUAAAAAUUUAUGAUUUGAUGUUAAUAUUCGAAAAUAAAACACAUACAGAUUUUUAGAAUUUCGUAAAUUAGAAUAGUGAUAAACUAAUAUCAAAUAAGAGAUUCAUACUUUUUAUUUUUCCUUGCAUGUAUUUUGUAGUUCAAACACUUUGGAAGUACAGGUGGCUUCAGGAAAAAGAAAAAAAAUAGUAGUUAGUUAAAAAUAACACUUCCGCAAUUCAAUAAAAAUGUUUUAAGAAAACAAAUACCUUGUCCUGUGAGAAAGCUGGAAGAAUGUUGUAUACCAUAACAGGUUAUAUAUAUAAUAAAUAACAUAGGUUCAUCUUCUCCACUAAGGGCCUAACUCCAAUCUUCUUCCUAUCCAUUUGCUUGAUUAAUUUAAAGCUGCCACCACCAUGCAUAAACAUUGAAUUAGACAGUGUGAUCGACGCAAACUAUUUAGCACCAACAACUAACCAAUAUAUAAUCCUUAUAAACCACUUUUCAAACAAAAAAUCCUUAUAAACCAUGAAUAGAGUAAAGAACUGAGAUAUUACAAAGUGAUAAAGAAACAAAAUAUUUGUAAGCAUAAAAAUUAAUAGGAAAAAAUCUUGUAGAAAAUAAGAUAAAACUUCUAAAAGAUGAAUUCAUUGCAAAACCAUACAUGUCUAUAAACCAUUUAUGAUUUAUUAAACCUAAGCAUGCAAUAUUUAAAGGAUUUUUCUUUAUAUUAAUACACAGCAAUUGACAAAAAUUAAAAAAAAAAUAUUUCUGUAGAUUUAAUCUGCAAAUUAAAUACAUAUCUAUUAAAACAAAUCUAUAAGUUAGAGAUUUGAAUUUACUUUCACAUGUUGCUGCGCAAUUAAGAGUAGUUUUCUUUGAGCUCCUGUCACACUAACAGAAACCCAUUGCACUAUCUUCCUAGACUAUAUCUCCUAGACUAUGCAUUCGACAGCCUUAAUCCUCCAUGGUUACCUCAUUGAACAAACCUGAACAAUCGCAUCAAACAUUUCUUCGAACCCAACAAGAAAUAACAUAUUGGACCAUGAAACUUCAUAUCAUAAGCUUGCAUCAUCUGAUUCUUCUCCCUCAAUAGCGUAAAAUGCUUUGGCCUAAUGUCCCCAACAACUCCAUAUUGAUGACAAACACGUCAAAAUUUUCGUUGAAAUGAAUCUUAAAGUCAGGAAUGUUACCUGAAUCAGUCGUUGUAGCAGUACUCGUAGUAAUCGCAUUCUUCACAUCAGUUGCAAUCUUCACAUUAGUUUCAGUCCCUGCAGCAACCUUAACCACUGGCUUUGUAAUAGAUGCAUCUACAGUCUCUAUUUUUCUGCUGAUUCAAAAACACGAUUCUCCUUUGAAUCUGAGAUCAUACCGAUCAUUUUUCCAAUGUUGAGAAGAUGGUAUAGCUGCUUCGAAGGGAGAAUCUCGUCGCUGUUUUUUUUGGACAUUGGAAAAAUGGAACGUAUCAGCUAUAUCUUCUUCUCAGCAUGGGAAAAAUGAUCGGUAUGGUCUUGGAUUUUUUUGCAGAUCCCAUCGCAGUUUUUGUUGGACAACUCGACUCAAAAGUUGUGAACCCCACAAAAUUCUAUAGCUUCUCACCAUCAUCUAAAUCACUUCCAGAAUCACUCUUGAUGACCAUCUUAUUCCGCUUCAGCAAAUUUGCACAUUCUACACGUACAUGCCUCAACAUUUUAUUCAAAAAACUGUAUAACCUUUGGAGAAUUACCAAACUUUCAUCUUGUUUCAUUAUCCUUCAUGUAAUCAUCAGCCAUGAACCCAAUAGAAGAUAUUUUUUUCCAUUCCAUGAAAAGCACUUCUUGAAAGGCAACUUUUCUCUCUCCAUCAAUCUUCAGAAUCUACUUGAAAUUUUCUAGUUUUUUGAAGCAUUUUAUGUCCCCACCCAUCAAAAUCUCACCAAUGACUUAAUUGACCCGAUCUGAUACCAAUUAUAAGUGUGAAUGAGAUCAGAGUGGAGUGCAGAAAAUAAACAAGACAGAUUUUUUUUUCUUUUCAAAUUCAUUAGAAUAAGAAAACAAAUACAACCAAUUUGCUAACGCAUACAAUGUGCACAACCUCAUGAAAUAUUGUCCUUUUUUACUACAAUAAUUCUUUAGGAUAUCAAUCUUUAACUAAAACCUACCCUAGAGUCUAGAUUUCAAUUUAUCAGGAUCACUUAACCCUGAGAUACACUCCCCCGGAGUCUGACUUCCAUCUUCCAAAUCUAUGAUACUAUGUAAACAACUAUAUGAUAUAUCAUGGUUUUUAUGGAUUUUGACCAUGAUAUAAGUCAUAAUUUAGAGUACAUUAUAUAUGUUUGGAGUCGGUUAUAGAGUCUUUACAUGUAUAUGUACACUUUGGACGAAUUUGGAGACUUUGGAUCAAUGGGAGCUUAAAGAGAAUGAGAGUCAAAAAGAUCAAUUCGGAUUCAACGAAAGGAGUUGGUUUCGAUCGAUGCUUGUCACUCGACACGUGAUUUAAAGCAAGUUCCAAAAAAAUUACAAAAAAAAAAGACAGAAGUUUUCAGUAUUUUCACAUAUAUUCUAUUUUAAGCUGAUGGUAGAGCUGGGUUACACUGUUGUAUUGUGGUCAGAUAAUUGUUAUGAUAGUGGUAUGAUUCUCCAGAAGCAGAUUGGAGCAGAGGUGAGAAGAAAAUAAUGGUGGAACGAAGAAAAAGAAAAUGAGAAGAAAAGUAAAGCAAUGUGGAAGAGGCAACUUUGACGGUUUGCCGGCCUUCAGGAGAUGUUGGGUUGGGAAGCCUGAGAUACACACAUUAUAAUCAUCAGCCCAUAAAUCUAACAAAAGUAAGUCAAAACCCUAAUUCUUUCGGAUGAACUUUCUGUUGAUUCCAUUUAUUUAUGUAUUGUAUUCUAUUUGAAGAGAUUAGAGCAUGUUUAUUGUAGGUCUCUUCAGUGGCGGAUCUAGAACUAUUAUCAAUCGGGGGCACCUUAAUAACUAAUUCAUUUAGAUAAAAUAAAUUUCAUAACGAAAAAAUAUCUUACAAAUUUAUCUUAUGAGGUUCCAUUUUCUGGAAUUUUUUCAUUACUACUUCAUUUGUUACUUUCUCAAACAAUUCUUUUUCAACAAAACAAACAACACAAUCAUUUAAAAACUGAUUACUAAUCCGGUUUUGCAAGCUAGUCUUCACAAUCUUCCUCGCUGAAAAACAUCUUUCAACUGUAGCGGUGGCAACAGGUAAGGUCAAAACUAGUUUCAAAAGCCGAUAAACCUGAGGAUGUGAAAGAUGUUUUUUUUGUUUUCACCAUCAUGCAUGGAAGAUCUCCAAGAUCCUUUAAAUUAAAAAAUCUUUCAUCUUCCCGAAUAUUGUCAAUAUAGAGACCUAGUUGAUGUUCAAGAGUAAUCCGCUCGAUAGGACCAAAAUCUUCAGGAUAAAACUCAGACAAUUUCAUAACUUUUAAUUGAUCAAACUCCUGAAAUGAAUUAGUGGGGCUCAAGGAAGCAAUGCAGCCAAGUAAUUAUGUGUUUACCUCAUCAAAACGGUCAUUAUAAACUCUUGAAUCUGCAUAUCCAAUACAGUGUAAAAACACUCCACCUUGUAAUGAUGCAAGUUGGUUAUAUUUCUUUUCCUUGAAUUAUUUGAAUCAAAUUCAUCAUCCAUAACCAGGAACUCAAUCUUGUAAUUCUCACAAAAGGAAGAAACCUUAUUAAAAAGAGAUUCCCAUCUAUCAUCUCUGAUCUUGUACAAUUGUUGCUUGGUGGAUUUCACAAGUGACAUAGCAUUCAGAAUGUCCUGAUAUUUCCUUUGGAGGCCUUUGAUAAGUUAUUUGUGAUCCCAAGAAGAAGCAACAUCAACUGUAAAUAGAAAAAAAAAUCAAAGGUGUAAAAUUAUUUGAGAAGACCAUUAGCUUGGCAUCUUUUGAUACCAUCACUUCCAUCAAUUUCAACAUACUCAAGCACUUUAAUGAUAGAAGAGAACAAAUCAACCAACCGCAACAAUGUCUUAUAAUGAGAACCCCAUCGAGUUUUACCGAGUCUUUGAAGUGAAACCUCUAUGUUCAGUCCAUUUCCAGUCUUAAUUUCCCCUUUCUUAGUUCUUUCCUCAACUUUGUUCCGAUAGUCUUCUCGAACCAUAUAUUUCCUCUUACAAGAAGCUCCAACCACAUUUAACAAGACAUCAAUCUUAUCAAAGAAAUCUCCAACUUCAAAAUGUUUUUGAGCAACUGCAACGACAACUAACUGAAGUUGAUGAGCAAAACUGCACUUCAAAAUGUUUUUGAGCAACUGCAACGACAACUAACUGAAGUUGAUGAGCAAAACAAUGGACAUAAUAUGCAGAACUGCAUUCUCUCAGAAUUAGAGCUCUCAACCCAUUGAAUUCACCCUUCAUAUUACUCGCUCCAUCGUAACCUUGCCCUCUUAACUUCUUCAUACUCAAUCUAUGUUUAGCAAACAAUGAAUCAAUGGCACUCUUCAGAGAUAAAGAAGAUGUUUCUUUCACAUGAGUCAGACUAACAACGCUUUCUUUAACUAUUCCAUGUGUAUCAACAAAGCGAAAAACAAUUGCCCAUUGCUCUUUAUCAGAAACAUCUGCAGAUUCAUCCACCAAUAAACAAAAUACAUCAUGACCAACUUCUUUAAUGAUAGAUUCAAUAACUUCUUCCGCAAAGCAAUGAACUAUAUAUGUCUGAAUUUUGUGGGACACCAUCUGGUUGUUUUUGGGGUCAUUCUCUAACACAACUUGACUUACAAGCUCAUUUUGUUCUGCAGUAUAUUUCACAAGCUCCAAAAAGUUUUCCUUGUUAACUGAAUCCACUGAUUCAUCAUGACCUCGAAACGGGAGUCCUUGUCUUAACAAAUACCUACAAGCAUCAAUUGAAGCAUUCAAUCUGAUCUUGUAUUCAUUUUUAGCCGCGUCAGUAUGCUUAUAAAAAGCAUGGAUAAUUGAUUGUUCUGGUUUCUUCAUUGUUCUGGUUUCAUCAAAUAAUCAGCCCUUUUCAACGCACUAUUGUGAAAACUAUUCAUUGCUCCAACAUGAUCACGUAAUCUCUCUAUCUUGUUCCAGUCAUCAAAGCCUUUGAUCACAAAUGCAUCACUUCCACAUUUGUUUUCAGUGUAAUCUCUAAACAAGUAACACAAUAAACAAUACGCUUUAUCCUUUUUCACACUAUAUUCUAACCAAUCGUCAUAGAUAUCAAACCAAGCCGGAUUGAAUCGUCUCAGUUUACUUUGAAACAAUGUUUUAGGAAAUUCAUGUCCACGAAGUUGACAAGGACAUCUCAUUAAAUAUUUACGUCUUACCUCGUCUCUUUGAUUUGAAGGAUAUUCAGUUAUUAUUUUCCUAUCUCCAGGAUCACUAGGUAAAUUCUCCAAAUCAACUUCAGAGUCUUGUUUUUUUGGAGAAGACAAAUUAUCCUCAGAGAUUUCAGAUGUAGGUGCAAAUUUUCUUUUAGGCUUGAAGUAUUUUUCCAUCUGUAAAAAGAAAAAUUUAGCACAAUACUAUAGUCUCUAAUUUUCUAUGUUCUCACUAUUUUUUGUUACUUAAAUCACAUAAAGUAACAGUUCUGAUAUAAGAAGCAACAAUAAUUUAAGAAAGAACAUGUUACCUGUGUUACUAUUUUGUUCGUCUGUUUAGACUGUUUUUUGUGAUUAGGAGCAAGAAACUUUAAUUAAAAAAACAAAGAAGCACAAAACGAAAGACGAAGACGUGAGCACUAGGUCUACUUCUUUCAUUAAUUGUGUAUAGUUUUGAAUGAGUCUCUUAAACUGGGCUUUUAACUUUGGGCUACAAUUAUAUUGUUUUAUUGAGUAAUUCCACCAAAUUUUUCAACGGGAGCACAACAUUAAAAUAAUUAUUAUACAUAACUAACUAUAUAUAAAUUUUAUUUUUUUAAGUAGUAGGGGGCACAUGCCCCGUAGACCACCACUUACGUCUGCCCCUGACGGGAGCACAACUUUAUAUGAUCACUAAAAUAAUUAUACAUAACUAACUAUAUAUACAAUUUUUUAAAAGUAGUAGGGGGCACGUGCCCCCGUAGACCACCACUUACGUCCGCCUUGGAUCUCUUAGGUCGGGUCUUUUAGCGUAAUAUAAGAUGCGGUCUCCUAACUUUUAGUCUCUUAUCUUUAGAGAUCGUAUCUUAUAUUAGAAGACUAACCAUAUAUAUAGAGACUAUCAAAAUUUAAUUGUUGUAAAGAUUAAACUCAUAUAUAUUUAUAUACUAGGUGUUUUGUCCGCAUGUGCGGGCAUGAUCAUUUUACUAAUAAUUAAUAAUAUAUGUAUUAUGAUUUAAACAUCAUGAUAACUUAUUUUUUAUAUUCUUAAUCAUUUUAGUUCUCUUCGAUUUUUAUUUCGAUCUACGUCUUUUUAACACAAAUGAAAGCUAUAAAACUACAACACCAUAAGAGCAUAAUUACAUAUCAAAUAUUCCACAAGUAAGAAUGUGAACUUUUGGUAUCUCUUAAUCUACUUUGUAUUUUUGAACCAUAAACAUGAAUUAACUUACCAAAAAAACAUUAAAACACACAAAAUCAAAAUAAGAACAAAAUAAAUAAAAACUAAAUAAAAACUAAAGUUCGAUGAUAAUUUUGAAGAAUUUUUUUUUAAAAGAACGAAUUGAGAUAAUGACAAUAUUUCAUUGGUUUACUUGAUUGAUAUAUACAUUGACUUAUCUUAAUAUUUCAUAAGUUUACUUUUAAUAAAAGAAACAAUAGAUAAUGAUAGUUUUAUCAUUAAAGUUAAUUUAUGGUUAAUUAUAUAAUGAUAAAUCUAAUUAUUCAUUAAAAUAUAUUUACUUUUAGCUGUUUUAGAAACUAAACCAUUAAAGACAUGUUCAUAACAUGAUUACAUAGGCAAUUCUCUAAAUUUAAUAUCAAAGCAUAUUUUUUUUAUAGAUUAAACAGUAAUAAAACAUACACGUGAAAUAACUACCGAAGUAAUUCAGAAUACCUAAUUCAAAACUCCAAAUUUCAUGUAACAAAACCGAUUUGAUCAUAGUAUUUCGGACUCAGAGAAAGAAGAAAAACAUAGAACUCCAACUAUUAAAAACAAAUAUCAAAAGUACAUAAAUAUAGAUGUCAAAAAUAAUAAUCGAAACAACUUGGAAUGAAUGAGAAAAUUGAAACUAUAGACUUUAAAACAUCUUACAUCAUAUGAAAAUAAGAAUUGGUCCUAACUUUUUAAAAAUAAUUAUAAUUGUUAUUCCAAUUAGAAAGUUUGAAAUAGUUAUGUUAUUUAAAUUAAUAAAUUAAUGAUUUAAGCUAAACACUAAUAAAAAUCUUGUGAAACUUAAAAUAAUUAUAAUCAUAAUUCCAAUUAGAAAUUCGAAAUAUUUAUAUUAUUUAAAUUAAUAAAUUAAUUAGAAAUCAGAAUAUUUAUAUUAUUUAAAUUAAUAAAUUGAUGAUUUAAUCUAAAAACUUAUAAGAAUAUGACAAAUAAGCAAAAUUAGCUAAAAUCAUGGAAAAUGUGACAAAUCAGCAAAAUCACUUCAUAAAUAAUAGUAUAGAUAAAUUAAUAAAUUAAUUAGAAAUUGAAAUAUUUAUAUUAUUUAAAUUAAUAAAUUAAUGAUUUAAUCUAAAAACUUAUAAGAAUAUGACAAAUAAGCAAAAUUAGGUAAAAUCAUGGAGAAUGUGACAAAUCAGCAAAAUCACUCAUAAAUAAUAGUAUAGAUUUUUUAAUAUAAGAAAAUUCAGGGCCAAAGCUCGUAAUCCUCCCAAACCCAAAAUUAUAUCAUGUAAUAUUAGUUUCGCUUUCAAACUAGAGACAUCUGACACAGUGGCAAAAAGUUAUUUCUAACUGUAUCUAGUUUAAAAACUUUUGUUUAAUGUCAACUAUAUAUACUUGUUUGUUAAUAAUUUACCUAAAAACAAACAAAGAGCAAACUAAUCUUGUUUAUAAUGAAUAUUUGUUGCUAAAAGAAAAAUACUAAAAACUCUUUUUUGUUAGUUGAAACUAUUUUAUAAUGUAAAAAAUUAAUCAAAAAAAUAGAUAUAUUCAAAAAUUAAAAUCAGGAGAUCACUAAUCCAAUGUGUCUACUUUUCAACGUUGGUUAAAUUAACCACAACCCCGCUUUAUAAUGAUGAGCUUGAGGAUAUCAUUAACCAGCUUAUUUUUUUGCCGUGCCAAAGAGAUAACAGAAAAUACCGAAUGGACUGAAGAGUAGGGAGACAGUUUCGGUGGGUUCAAAGGGUUUGCUUUACUUGCGGAUGAAGAAUCGCGCAUCCUCCAUUUCUCUCUUUCUUACCCUAUUUUAACCCUUUCUACCCCCUCACACAUCUCCUCCAUCUCAAAACUUCCACUUUCAUCCUCGACCUUCCUUUUUAGAUUCUGAAUCUUCUUCACCAUCAGAGACUCUGUGUUUCCCUUAUUCACAUCCAUUUUCACCAUCUCAUUCCAUCGAUCCUUCAAUAUCUCUAUCGCAGAAGCAGCGUCUUGAAUGGUAGAAACAACUCCGACUACCAGAGAAUUUAUGCUCUCCCAUUGCACCACCGCAAGGGCGAGCUUUCUCCUCCCUCCUCUCUCCUCCUCCUUCACUUUUGGCUCUUGCAAGGAAUCCUGGUACUUCCGCUGCAUCGGCGUCGACCCUUGAAGCAACUCAAACUCCCAUCAAAAGUUUUAUUUUCUUUUUUUUGGCGUUUAUUGUUAAAGAUGUUGCUGUACAACAACAACAAGCAGAAGAAAACACACAAGUCCAAGAUUAACAGGUUCCUCGUUAGCAUCAGUUUCUUAGGAAGUGCUGGACCCAUUCGUUUUGUUGUUAAAGAAGAUGAAACUGUUUCAAAUGUUAUUGAUUAUGCUCUCAAAUGCUAUGCUCGUGAAGGCAGGCUUCCACUACUCGGUUCUGAUUCCAGCUUUUUCCUUCUCUACUCUCCUUACUAUGCUGUUGAAGGUGAGAUUUGAGUUUUUUUUACUACCCUAUGUGUUUUGCUCAUUAAUGGCUUUGAUUAUUUUACUUAACAUUUUGAUCAUUUCAGCAUUUAAUCCAUGGGGAAAGAUUGGUUCAACCGGAUUAAGGAACUUUGUUCUGUCUAAGAACCUUGGAGGCUCUGUGGACACAACAACAACAAUCAGGAAGACCUCUGGGAAAUGGAAGGCAUGGCUCAACAAGUCUCUAGGCCUUAUGGUUCCUUCUCACUAGAUCAUAGGAUCUCUGCACUUCUCUUUUUGGUUUUCUUGUCAGAGGAAUAAGCAUCACAAACACUUGUGCUUUGGUUUUUUUGUUGUAUUUUGCUACACUAAUAAAUGAAAUGAGGUUCGAUAGAAUGAAUAUAUGUUCUUUAACAUGUUACAUGUUUAUCUUUUCUACAUAGUUUCGGGUCUGGGACCAACAAUGCAAAGCAUCAUAGGAAUAUAUGUUCUUUAACAUGUUCUGCUGUAUUUUGCAACACAAUAACAUGGAUUGAGAUUUGAUAGACUGAAAUAACUGUUUAGCUAUAUGAUAAAAGGAAAGCAUCAAAGGAACAUAUGUCUAAUGUGAGAAUCUCAUAUCUUUCUCGAUCAUUUAAUAUGUUUUCUAGCAGUUAUUGAUUCUGAUCAUGCUUCUUCGUUGUCACCUCUCACUUGCUCCUUAUCUAUGCACCGUCUCUUGAGCGAUUCAGCAGAAGAAGAAGGUCCUCCAAAUUCAUGUGCAUCACUCCAUUAGCAUCUGGUCCCAAACGAGAGACUCGUGAUGCUGGGGCAGUCUCCAUUACUAAAAGAAACAAAGACCAAUGUCAUUCUUCAACUUUUAGGAGAGCACACAGUGAGAGAAAAAAGAUAAGUUUAAUUACAGCUUUGAUCAGGAGGAGGACAUGUACGUUGUUGCUCUUGCUUUUUCACAUUUAUAUCAUUUAAGCUCCUCAGUAUGAGUGUCUUACUGACCACUGAUGUCGAAGCUGCCUUAUCCUGUUUAACUCUCUCUCUCUCAGAAGACUUACAAGAUCUAGUUUCGGUUGUGAUCUGAGCAGUAGCCGUUACUUCUUCAUCAGUCCCAAGACAAAACGAACAAAGAAAAAAGAAACUUUUAAUCAGAUAAUGUCUUGCGUGACAAGGAAGCUAGGGCUUGUCUAGGUUUCUAAUUGCUUACUUGGUGCUUCUUGUUCACGUAACUUCCGCUUAUUCUCGCAAGCUUCAUAGUAGGAUCUGAAGUUAUCUUGAUAGCCUUGUUCAAGACGAUCCCAAACUACAAAAAAAAAGUAUUUUAUAUUUCAAAUUACUGAAACGUUUUGCCUCAAUACCCGUUAAUGGUUCUGUUAAAAAAGAAAUCUACUUAAAAAACCUGUUUUGGUCGAUUCAGGUGGGAUCCGAUACAGAUCCGAUAGAUGUUUUACAGUUUCUUCCUUGCUCUUGUAAUCACGCAUACACUCCAUGAUCCUUCCAUGAACCUGAAACAGAGCAGAGAGUAAGAAAUUAUAAUUUAACUUCUAACUUGAUUGAUAUGAAAUGAACUGAUGGAAUCUUACGUAAUAUGAGAACUCCUCCACGCUCUUAAAACCUCUAGGGACGAAGGCAUCACCACCGUUAGAACCUUGAGGUGCUUGUGAUGUUGCAUCAUCAUCAUCGUCUCUCUGGAUAUUAGAGCGACGGUGUUGAUCUUUCUCUCUUUUAUCCCUGAAAAACCUCGGUAUAAGUUUGUAGCUCUCUAUUCUUGAAGCUUCACGGAUCUUCCGAUAAGUCUCGCAAGAUUUAUAGUGGGAUCUGAAACUCUCUGGAUACUUUGCUUCAAGAAGAUCCCAAACUACCAAAAUAAAAGAUUUCGAGUUACUCAAACGUUUUGCCUUAAGACACAUUGAUGAUGAUUCGGUGCGAAAAAGCAAAAGGAGUCUACGUAUACGUACGUACCUAUGCUGGUCAUGACAUGUGGGAUUUGAAACUGAUCCGUUAGAUGUUGCAUAGUUUCUUCCUUGCUCUUAUAGUCUUUCAUGCAUUCUUUGAUUCUGUGAUGAAUCUGAAAAAGAGAGAGUGACUAUAGUGAAAAGGUUUCGUGACUCCUACUUUUGGUUCUUGGAUUGAUGAAAAAUCUUACGUAUGCCGAGAACUCCUCCAUGCUCUUACAACCGCCUGGAAGAGGAAGAUCUUCCAUUCUCUGCGAUCUUUUCUUGAAGAAUUGUUCGAUCUGAGUCGUGAGUUCUUGGAGAAGAGAAGAGAGAUUCUGAUUAACAAUAAGUGGUAGAGAGGGAGAGAGAAAGAAGGCGGAAGGUUGUUAUUUGAGGCUUUUUAUGUCUCGGCUCAUUUGUAACUGAAACACUACACUAACCGUAGUUCGCAAGAAAGUAUCGUUAAUCUCGGCAAGUAAAAUGGCUACAAUUUCAACUCCACCAUUUGCCUUUUUGUUUUAGGGGGUGUUACUGGUUUGGGAAGUUUAAUGGAAUUGAAUAUAACUGUAAUUAGGAUUCUUUUAAUAGAUAUGAGUGGAUUCUUUAAACGAAAACUGAUUAAAAGUAAUACAUCGAAUCUAAAUCAACUAUCUAAAAUUCAACCCAAAUACUUUUUGUAUUUGAAUUUUGUUUCCAUUUUAUUUUAUAUACACUAAAUUUUGUGUUAUCUGUUAAUGAUCCAAAAUCAAUAAUUUAUAAUUCACUGCAAAUAAUGUAUAUAGUGUAGUUGGAAUUUUGUUUCGAUUUUCUUUUACAUACAUUAUGAUGAUAACAGUAACGAAUGGACAUAUCAUCUUUUAAGUUACGAAAGUCUCAUCAGAUUAUUAAGAAAGCUACCCAAUGUACAAGAACUAACAAUUAAGAAAACGUGUAGCUUGAGUGGUGCAUGAAAAGAGUGGUAAACAUAUUGACUUCGUGAAUUCGACAUGUGUAUUUUCAGUGAUUUUUUACCUAUUCAGUGGAUUGAUAUUACUAUUAGUGUUUGGCUUUCGAAUAUCUUUUGGAUCCUAUUUUUUUGUAAUAAAUGAAUUCAUUUUCUUAACUAUACUAGAGUUUUAUAAAUAUCGAUGUCGAUUUGUAAAUAAUAAUAUAGUUUGAAUAGAUUUUUUUGGUUUGAUAUAUUUUACGAUAAUUUGGAUUCAAAUAUUUUAAAAUCGGAUUAAAAUAAAUAUAGAAUUAAGUGUUUGAAGUAUUUAUUUAAGUUUUUAGUAUUUAUUUUUAUUAUUAAUUCAGAAUUUCAUACUGAAAAUUUUCAUGAGUUUUCAAGAUUUUCACGUUUUUUAUUUUUUUGUAUAUUCGUUCAAAUUCUGAUAAAAUUCAGAAAAUAUUGUUAUUCAAAAUACCAUUUUAUAUCAUUUAUUUGAGUAUUUAUUUAGUUUGAAUGUGAUUCAGUCUCAACUUUUCUAUUUGGAUUUGGAAUAAAGUUAUAGACCUAACUGGUUUCAUUGUUGAUACCAAGGGCAACAUUAUAAUUUAGGUUCUUAAAAAAAGAGAAAUUGUCAAAAAUAUCAUAUAUAUAGUACCAUUUUUCAUAUUUACACUAAUCACUUUUACCUUCACUUUUAAUGAAAGUUAAAAAAAAUUAUUAACCUUUGGUUUAACUAAUAUAGACUUAGGGUUUAAAAUUGAGGGGUGGGAUUGGGUUUUUGAAAUUUAGGAUUCUAAUAAAUAUUUAAAAAAACAUUUAAAAAUGUUUAAAAAAAAUAGUUUUAAAAAUAGUUUUCGAUUUUUAAAAAUAAAUUUUGAAAAAUUUCAAAUUUGAAAAGUAUAAUUCGAAAAUAUAAAUUUUUGCCAUUUAAUGAAAAUGGUAUUUUUGAAAAUGUCUUUAGUGGUGGUAAAGAUGAAUAAUAGUACCAUAUGAAAGUGGUAACCAUCAAAUUUUCUUAGAAAAAAAUCCUAACAUCCAAAUAUUAUUAGUUUAAUAUAUUAUAAGUAAAUAACUAGAUUUUAAUUAAAAUUAAACAGUCAAACUAACUGGAUGUUGUCAAGCGGAGGAAGAGGUUUCUAUGAAUAUCUUUCAGAGUCUGAUUUUAGAACUGACGGCUACCUUUUCCUCUAAUUUUGUAUUUUUUUAUUUUUCUAAAAUCAUUAGGUACUUAUUAGAUCUUAUUAUUGGAGAUGCUCUCAGUAAUACUAUUAGUGUGUUGACAAAAAAAAAGUAAUAUUCUCUCCGUUUUAAAAAUAUAUAUUUUUUCGAAGAGAAAAAAUUAUUUCAGAAAGAUAUAUGUUUUACAUUUUCAAUUCAUAAAUUAAUUGUAAAGUGUAAACUUCAAAAAAACAUAAUAGUGUUUAUAAAAAAAAUUAUUAGUUAAAAGUUGUGGGAAAUAGUUGUUAAAAUAAAAUAAUGGAUUAGUAUCUAAAAUCUGAUAUGUUUUUUUAAUAAAUGUAAAAAAAUCUAAAAGAUACAUCUUUCUGAAACGGAGAGAAUAUUAUUAGUGUAUCAAAAAUGAAUGACAUACAUUGAAAAAGUAAAUAUGAACUUUUUAGAAACAAAUUUUUUUUCUAAAACAUGAAUCAUUCUAAAACGAAGGGAAUAAAAAAUUGACAAAUAGAUAGGUCUGCAAAUAGAGGUGCUGUUCUCCAACGUCAAAAUUAUUGAUGACACUAUUUUGAGUCUCACUGAUUGAUGACUUUUUUUGUCAACACGGAUUGAUGACUAAUACUGUAUAACCGUAUUAAACACCCAAUUAAUUUUGGUCAAAAACUAUAUGAUAAAAGAAAAAGUAAUAAAUGAAAUUAUUAUUAAAUGGAUAUGUUCGUCCGAAAAAAGUAAAAAAUUACUAAUAAAGAGCCGUACGGAUAUUGGAUAAAUCAGAAUUAGGUAGAUAAAAAUCGAAUGUCACAUUCAAUUCAUUUAACUAUUGCUUCACUGCUUAUCUUUUUAAUUUAACUUUUUCAUAACUAUUUAUAGGUUUUACAUUCUCUAAAAAGCAUCUCUCUUACAGAACGAACCAUGUCGUCAAAGUUAGAAAAAUAUGAUGGUAUUUUGAUAGUUUUCCAAACACUGAAGUUAAACAAUAAAGAAAGAAUAUUAUUGAUCAUAAAAUAUUUACCUUUAACAAAAAAACUAAAAAAAGUUUAAUUGGAUUCUGAAAGAAUGUAAUUUUCAACUAUAGAGAGAAGAACGAAAGUAAUAAUUUGCUUUAAAUCAGUUUCAAACAAUUAUAAAACAAAAUCGUGAAUUUUUUUUCUUUUUAACAUAUUUUAAAUCGUGAACAAAAUUGAAAUGAAGAGAAAACGGCUAAGUGUCACACACAAAUAUUUAUCCUGAGAAAACUAAAGAGUAAGGAUAAAAAAUUCUUAAAAAUAAAUAACGUUUGUUGGGAAUUUGGGAUAUAUAAAGCCUGGAAUGUGUUCACAUGUAAUUAAGCCAUCUCACCAUGUUAUAAACUUUUGUAUAAAUGUAACCUUAUAAUAUCGUGGUCUCAAAAAGUUAGAAAUCAAAGUUGACAAUAAACUGAUAAAUAUAAAGGUGAGUAAUAUAAUUUCGGUUUGAUUUUCAGUGCCUCGUUUGAUAUAUAAAUCGAAGUAAAACAAUGAAAACGACUUAGCAUUAUAUAAUCUGGUCCGCCUACUUUCCCAAAUACAAUUCUGACGUGAUACAAAGGAAUAUAUAUAACUUUUUAAUGCAGAGUCGGUCAUUUUAGUGUAAACUAGGGAAGCUAUACAUAGGUUUCCCUAAAGAAAAACUGUUUCUCUCUCUCCUUCUGCUCUGUCCUCUCUCUAAAAAUCAGACACAGAGGAAGGAUUGAGAUGAAAUCUCAACCGGAGCUUCUACCAAAUUCAUCUUCGGUUAGCAAGCUUGUUUCUGGGAAGCGGUGAUUCUUCUACACCGCUAUCGCCAGCUUUGUUUCCGGGAAACGGUGGCUCUACAGCACCGUUUUCGCCGGCUUUCGUCCCCGGGAAAGCGGUGACUCUGAUAGCACUGUCAUUUCGCCGGCGUCUUCUCUGGUUUGUUCCGGAACUAGUUCAUGAUCUACGCUUUUGGGUUUGCUAUGUCCAAUCGACUCUCGAUCUGAAAAUCGUGUGGAUUUUUUGGAUCGAUCGUAGAUGAUUGAUGUCUUAUUGGAGUGUAGAUCGAUGGUUGGAGAUCUUUAGUUUUAUCGGUUUGGCCUCUAUGGUGGAGUUUGGUCGCGUCGUUUCUCUGACUCCGGCGUAGUUCUUCUCGAGUUAGUCUCGAUGUAGCUCUCCGUUGAAGAGUCCAGGCGAAACAGAUGGGUGAGAUGGUCUCAGUUUCCGGCGUGCUCCGUCGAAACUAUAGGUGGUUUCGUCUUCGCCGGCGAUGUCUUCUCGGUGCCGGUCGCGGUGGUGUGACCAGGUGACGCGUGUUCUCGAAAGGGGUGGGUUUCAACACGUGGACGGGCAUGCGAGCUUUGUUGGACGCGUGUUUAGCCGUUUGGUUUGUGGGCUUGUGCUUUAGGCCCGGGUUUAGUUUAUGUGAGCCCAUUGUGUUGGGCUUUAUGUUUUAUGUUUGUUGGAUCAUGGGCUUAGACCCAUUAAUAAAAUAAAAGAUGGAAAAAAAAAAAAACUAGGGAAGCUAUACAGAACUAGAAAUAUAUAAUUGUGUACCGAUCUUGAAAUAGAUAAAUGGGAUUAUCUAAAAUAAUUAUACUUUAUGUUAUACUUUAGGUCCGGUCCGACUAUUUUUAUGUAAUCAUUAAUCAUGCACUGUUUUAAUAGUAAGCUAUACCAAUAAAGAAUACUUUUAUCAGUAUUGAGUCUGAAAAUUAGUAAUUAACAUUUAACAAUCAAAUACACUUUCUUAGCUGACAAAAUAAUACCUGAGUUUUAAAACUAGUAAAGGGAGGGCCUCGUGGGUUUAGGCGGGUGCCCCCGGUCGUCGGAUCCCCACGGUUAAAAAAAAAAAAAAAAAAUAUAUUCGAGAGGACAAUGAUCGAUUAAUAUAUAGACCUUGUAUUUGUAAUAUAAUAUUGGAACUCGAUGUGAUAGAAGAAGAAAGAAAGAAAAAACUGUGAAAAGGAGAACUCGAUGGGGGUCAGAGAGAAUUUGCACACAUGCAAGUUGGCAACUUGGUAGUUAAAAACAUUUCAUGCAUGUGGGACCUUCCUUCGUAUCAAACUGAAAUAAAUUAAAAAAAAAAAAAAAAAGAUUAAUAACACAACAUCAGCGAAAGUUAUAUCGGCUAUUAUAGUAUUAUUCAUCGUUAAUAAAGAUAAUUGUGCAACUAAUUUUUGAAAUAAUUAUAUGCGUUGGUUCGAUCCUUUUGAAACUGGCUGGCGUGUGGGCAUUUACUUAUUUCUGGAGCCUUACUUUACUAAUCAUAUACCUAACAAAAAUAACUCGCAACAUUUUUUUUUUUUUGCUAAACAACUCGCAACAUUUUGAGUAUAUUUUAAGAACAUCGAGCUCAUAAUGCGUCGUCACAUUUUAAAUAAUUAUAAUCACGUCUUAUCUUUUCGAUUGUUCCGGCGGUUUAAUAUAAUAUUAUGUACUUUCAACAUAAACUAUGUAUCUACCAGAUUUUAGAUUUCUAAAAGAUACAUGUUUUUUUAGCAACUUCUAAAAGAUACAUGUAGAUGUAGGCAGAACACAUAAACAGAUCUUAAUAUAUAUCCCGUAUGUCUAUGUACGAUAGUUUGUUUAUUCUUUAUAUAUAUAAAGAAAAAGAAACAAGUUAAUAAGGUACAGAGCCAUGCAAAAAAAAUUGUUUUUACAUUAUAAAAGAUUAAAAACAUCGGAUUCAAUUGUUGUUUUUUUUAUCACAACAAGAGUACAAAGAAAGAUCUCAUUACGAAUCCGAGAAUGACGAGAUUUUAGUGUCUGUGUUAACAUAUGAGAAAACAUGAUUUCUUGUUCGAGCAUUCCUUGCAAUGAAGUUUGCUUGAGUGUUACUAGAUCUGGGUUGAUAAACCACUUUUCCGCUUUGAUAAAACGCCCAAAGAGAUUUAAACUCGGUAAAUUCAGCUGCAAAAGCUGGUCAUUCUUCUGGUGUUGUGAUCAUUUUGACUAAUUCUUGGAAAUCAGUAACAAAGUAACCGCAGAACCGCUGAUGGUGAGAUAAACAUUUCAAUGCUCAUACUAAGCUCUUUAGCUCUGUAUGUAGUGACAAAAUUAUCUUAUGGUAACCUUGAAGGCUGAGAUCUAUUGAUCCAUCUUGGAGUUGUAAAAGGUAUCCUACUCCAAUAGUGAUUUUGUCAUUUUUCCAUGAUCCAUUUACCCGGCAAGUAAAUAUAGGUAGGUCUGGAGGCUUUUUGGUAUGAGUAUUGUGGCACUGUUGCCUGGUUCGGUCUUUUCAUUGGCCAGGAACCAUGCAUUACACUCCUUUAAUACUAAAUCUGUUGUAUCCACUAGUGAAAAAUCUCUACCAUUAUAGAGUUUUUCAUUUAGUGAUUUCCAUAUAUACCAAAUUGGCGAAAUACUCUAGUUAAUUCUUCUAUAUUUCCGCCAAUAUUAGUUCUUACGAGCAGAUAGUUUAUAUUGGUGCAGAGAUUCUCUGAAGAAAAUAGCUCUGGCGCGGAAGAUCCAAUUGUUGUUUUGUAGAUCAAAUUAAUAUUGCUGUUAAAAAUAUUCAAUGAACAGACAUGAAAUGUGGUAUUGCGACCAGAGCCAAUUAGAAAUUAGUCAUAUGUAAGCAAAAAAAAUAAAAAAUCGUUACAUGAAACACUACAUUAAUAAAAUUUCAAAAAGUUUUUUUUUAUGAAAGUAUCCCUUAGUAGUUAGCACUCUUUGUAAUUAAUAAAUAUAUCUCGCUCUCAUUCCUUUUUCUUUAUCAACUUUACAUUUAAAACUCAUUAACAGUUUAUUAAUAUCUAAUAUCACUAGCUAGGAGUUUUGAUUUACUGUUCACACAUUGUGAAGUUAACAUAAUUUUUUCGGCCAUUUACUUUGUUAUUUUACCAAUAAAUUGUGAGCAAACUUAGAUUUAUUAUGGAGCUGGUUAUCUGGGAUAUCUGGGAACUUCCUAGAAGGUGCGAUUUGGGCGUUUAGGGUUUCCGGAGCUCUCCGUCGUUAGUUGGCCUCACGCCGGCUAGCGAGAAGUCAUCCCGCGUCGCUCUCUCUCAAUGUCGAUGCUUGUCUCCGCUCCUUCUUCGAGCUCUCCUAUUGAUCCAGGAGGGGCCUCACCAGCGAGAGUCUCAAAUCGCGAGAAUCAGCUCCUUAACCGCGAUUUGGAGAAGAAGCUCCAGUCUCCUUCGAUUCCAGCGUCGAUUCCAGCCGCGAAGGUUCCCUCGUACGAGGCGAGGUUCAAAUCGUCCCUAAGGAAUCUCCGUAAGAUCUCAGAUCCGUCGUUUUUAGAGGCCGAGACGCCGGUAAUCCAAGCGCCGGAGUCUGUGCUUCUCAGAACCUCAGAACUUUGGAAAGACCAUGUGGUGGCUCACUUUCAUGGUCGUCGUCCUUCUGCAUCAAAGAUUAUUACCGAUUUGAACCCAGUUUGAGGAAAGUUCGGUAGUAUUACUGUCUGAACGGUCUCUGAUACCUGCGUCUUGAUUUACAUCCCCUCUGUGCAGACUAGAGAAUGGGUGUUGCAAGUGGGUUACUGGCAGGCUGAUAGGUGUGCCUUCUCGGUCUAUCCUUGGACAGCUGAUGGGAAUCUGGCUGCUCAGGAGUUGCUCUUUGCGCCGACGUGGGUAGUUCUGAAGAACAUCCCUCCUCAGUUAUACUCUUUGGAUGGUAUCAGCGUAGUUGCUAGCGGUAUAGGAGAUCCACUUCACACUGAGAAGUCUCGUCUAGACCCCUACCACUUCGGUGAUACUAAGGUCAAGGUGGAGAUUGAUCUCUCAAAAACUCCUCCGGAGGUUGUAGAAGUCAGAGAUACCCAAGGGAACUCAGUUAGAGUCAAUGUGGAGUACCCUAGUCUCCCUCCUAAGUGUCUGAAUUGUGGAAAGUUCGGUCAUUUGAUGAACCGGUGUAACAAAGCUCCACGGCAGAGGUUGCAGAGUCAGAAGAAAGGGAAGGUGAUCAGUGUUGUGAAGUCUGGCUCAGAGGUUUCGCUAGCAAAUGAGUCCCAGGAAGGGGAGAAAGAAGCAAGUGCAUCGAAGGAUGAGGUUGGUCAGGAGCAUAAGAGUAAGGCUAAGUCUAGGCCCCGCAAGAGGUCCAGGUCCAGAGCGCGAGCUAGAGCUAGAGCGUUAAGUUCCCCUCCGGAAGAUAGUGUGAGAGUGGAGGUAGUAGAGUCAAAAAAUGCUCUAGAUGUGAAGGUGCAGGACUCCGCAUCGUUGAUUCGGGAGAAGGACUCGACGGUGGUGGAGUCAUCUCCGGUUGCGGGUUCAGUUGAGGAAGGUUCUCAGUUGGAGGAAGGGGAGAUUAGUGGGGAAGAAGUGGAGGAUUUGGUUCAGGGUUCGAAGGAGAGUCAGAACGAGAUGUAUGUUCAGGAGGAGGAAAAGUCUAUGUGGCUCACUAAGCACUCGAAGAAUUUUCGAAGAGCGCUGAGACAGCAUAAACUUUGGGAAGCUUCGGGAGCAGUGGGAAAGGAAAUCAGCGAGGCUUCUUGAUCGAGUUUUCUCCACCGGGAGGAAGCUUGAAGCUUGAUCGGUCGGGAAUAUCGUAUUCAACUGUGUAUAUAUGAAGAUUUUUAGUUGGAACAUUAGAGGUAUUAAUGGAGUUGGUCGACAAAGGGUAGUUUGUAGUUGGCUUCAGAGUCUGGGCUCGUCAGUGGGAGCUUUUUUAGAGACUCAUGUGCAGGAAGAGAACUUUCUUAGUGUUUUGGGAGCGGUGGCUCAUGGUUGGAGGUUUGAUAAUAAUUAUUCAAAGGCUGCAGGAGGGAGAAUUUGGCUUGUGUGGAACCCGUCUUUGUCAGUUGUGGUCUAUUUGAAAACGGAUCAGUUGAUUCUUUGUGGAGUGAUCGAUCCAGCUUCUGGUACGGAGUGUACGGUGGCCUUUGUGUAUGCGCAUAAUACGGAAGCUGAGAGGAGGAGUUUGUGGAGGGAGUUAGUCACUAUUGCUAAUAAUCUGUUGGUAGCAGCUUCACCCCUAGUAGUGCUUGGUGACUUUAAUCAGAUACUAACGGCGGAGGAACAUUUUUCUUUGCUACCUUAUGAUCUUCCGGUCAGAGGUAUGGAAGAGUUCCGGCAGUGUUUGGAAGAAAGCAACUUGACAAAUAUGGAUAUUUGAGGCACCUUCUUUUCCUGGUCUAAUAUGCGUCCAGAGGAUCCAAUCUUGAGGAAGCUUGACAGGGUCCUGUGCAGUGAGCUUUGAAGGGAUAGAUACCCAGAAGCUGUGAGUGUGUUUGAAGCGCCGGGAGAUUCUGAUCACUCUCCAGCAGUGGUGUCUUUCUCUGAAUUGUCUUCGGCCAGGAAAUGCAGUUUCAAGUACUUCUCUUUCCUUUCCUCCCAUCCUAGGUUCCUCGCGGAGAUUCUUAAGACCUGGGAAGAGGAUAUUCCGGUAGGCUCCAAGCUUUUCUCGCUUGGCCAGAGAUUGAAGAAAACCAAAGCAACUUGUAGAAGAUUGAAUAAGGAGGGCUUUGGUAAUAUCUAGCAGAAAGCGAAAGAAGCUCUAGAGGCAUUGAAAGCGAUCCAGCUCCAAAUGGUAACGGCGCCCUCAAAUUCUUUGUUCCGACAAGAGUUUGUUGCUAGGAAGAACUGGCAAUUCUUUGAAGCAGCCCAUGAGAUCUUUUUCAGCAGAAAUGCGAGAAUAACAUGGUUAGAUUGCGGGGAUGCUAACACAAAGUUCUUCUUCAAAGCGGUGAUUGCUCAUCAAAUGAGGAAUUGUAUCAGUUAUUUGAUGGAUGGAGGGAAUAACAGGGUUUUUAAUCAAGCCCAGAUUAAGGAGAUGGUGGUGGCAUAUUUUCAAAACCUCUUGGGGUCUGUAGAUGGGAAUUUGGAGGAGAUUUUUAAGGUGGAGCUGAGAGGUCUGCUUGCAUAUAGGUGUUCGCAGGAGAUAUCCGACAAAUUGAUAUGCAUUCCGACGGAGGAUGAGAUUAAAGAAGUCUUGUUUGCAAUGCCAAAGAAUAAAGCUCCAGGCCCUGACGGAUAUUCGGCAGAAUUCUUUUGGGAGGCUUGGGAAGUUGUUGGUAAGGAUACAAUUGAGGCAAUAAGAGAGUUCUUUACUGGUGGUCGUUUGCUGAGACAGUUCAAUACCACAACGAUUUCCCUCAUUCCUAAGGAGAUAGGUGCGGAUCGUCUUAACCAAUUUCGCCCGAUCUCCUUAUGUUCAACAGUCUACAAGGUAAUGGCUAGACUCAUUAAGAGGAAACUGAAGCUUUGUCUCUCUGAGAUAGUGCAAAGAAAUAAGGUUGGCUUUAUUCAGGAAAUGCUGCUAUGUGAGAAUGUCAUGCUUGCUACUGAGUUAGUUAAAGACUUCAACGCUCAAGGUCCAACAACAAGGGGUUGCCUGAAGAUAGACAUCUCUAAAGCUUACGACAACCUUAGCUGGGACUUUCUUUUCAAGGUUCUGAGUGCCUUUGAUUUGCCUAGUAAGUUUAUUGAGUGGAUCAAAGAAUGCGUAACCACUCCCUCUUAUAGCAUUGCCAUCAAUGGAGAACUUCAGGGGUUCUUCCCGGGGAAGAAGGGUCUUAGACAUGAGGAUCCUAUCUCGUCUCUGCUGUCUAAGAUGCUAGAUAAAGGUGCUUUGGAUGGUACUUUUCGUUUGCACCCGGAGUGUGAAUCACCAUUGAUCACACAUUUGAGUUUUGCGGAUGAUGUUCUGAUUUUCUUCGACGGCUCAGCAGAUUCUCUAAGGGGUACUCUGAGCAUCCUAGAGGAGUUUCGUUUGGUGUCAGGGCUGAGAAUCAACAGACAAAAAUCUGAGUUGCUACUCGAUGGAGGUAGUCCGAGUAGAUGUCGUGAUCUGGCAGCUGAGAUGGGGAUUGUACAAGGGGCUCUUCCGCUGCGAUACCUGGGUGUUCCUUUGUCUCCUAAGAAAAUGACUCGGUCGGAUUUCCAGCCUUUGUUGGAUAAAAUUGCUGCGAGAUUCAGCUCUUGGACAGUUAAACAUCUGUCCUUUGCGGGUAGGUUUCAGCUUAUCCAAGGGGUGAUCUAUUCGACGAUCUCAUUCUGGGCGUCUAUGUUCAUCAUUCCCUCAGAGUGUGUGAGUAUUCUGGAGCGUAUGUGUGGAGCUUUUCUGUGGAAUGUUGCACCAAACUCGGCCAGAGGGGCUAAGAUUGCCUAGGACUCAGUCUGCACGCCAAAGGAAGUGGGAGGUUUGGGUCUAAAGAGAUUAGCGGACUGGAACAAAGUGUUGGGUCUGAAGCUAAUCUGGCUUAUGUUCACAGCUGGAGGUUCUUUGUGGGUUUUGUGGGUGCGCAGACACUUGAUUAGGAAUGAUAAUUUUUGGGUGUUGAAUCCUACUCAUAGAGGAAGUUGGAUAUGGAGAGCUAUAUGUAAGUUGAGACCUCUGGCGAGACCUAUGGUGAUUUGUGAAGUGGGUUCUGACAGCUCUGCUAGCUUUUGGUUUGAUAAUUGGACCUCAGCUGGACCCUUUAUCGAGUUGGUGGGGGAGAGGGGACCUCUAGUUACUGGCAUGAGUAUUGAUGCAGCGGUUACUGAUGCUUUAACAAAUGAAGGAUGGAGGCUAGAUCGAAGUAGAAGCAGGAGUCCUAUAAUUUCCCUAGUGAGGGCAUGUCUGCCUAAUGCGCAGGAAAUUUUGAGCUCUGAAGUGGAUGAUAGAUAUGCUUGGUAUCCGCAGAUUGGUCGGGGAAACGGGCGUUUCUCAGCCAGCGAAACAUGGAGAGUGCUGCACCCUUAUCUGACGCAAAUCCCAUGGCAUAAGGCAGUGUGGUUUGCAGGAAGAAUACCGAAGCAUGCUUUCAUUACUUGGAUUGCAGCUAGAGACAGAAUGGUUACUAGAAACAGAUUUCUAAGUUGGGGAUUGUAUGUUCCUUCGAGGUGUGUUCUUUGUUCGGGGUUUGACGAGAACAGACAACACUUGUUAUUUGAUUGUGGGUACAGUAGCCAGAUCUGGUCCUUCUUUAUAUCUAGGUUGCAGCUGACUCCUCCGCGGGGGUUUGAAAAGGUGCUGGUUUGGCUGAAAGCUCCAGCGAGAGACGGUAAUGUGACUUUGAUUGUCAGACUAAUUCAUCAAGCGGUUUUGUAUCUGAUCUGGAAGGAGAAGAAUACGCGCAUUCACUCAGCUGUGGAGAAGCCUCCAGGCACUCUGAUAGCAGAGACUCAGCAAACAAUAAAACUCAGGUUGGACCAUUUGGCUCGUAGACAGGUUGUUACUCCGGGUCAUCUCUCUAUUCUUGCAGCUUGGCGAACUUUUUUUGUAGCGUAGGAGUCUUAGAAGCUUGCAGUACGAUGCGGCUUUGGUUCCACUUGCUUUUAGUUGUGAUAGCUUGAGCAUGAAUAAACUGGAGUUUUUUUAAGAAAAAGAAAAAGGAAAAAAGGAUUAUUAUAAAAUAUAUAAUAUUUAGUAAAUACACACUCUGCAUAUUGACUUAUCCCCAAAAAAGCAUAUAUUAAAAAUGACCUAACAAAACGAUUUAAAAUUUUAAACAGGUGAAAUUAAAUAAAUAAAAGGUAAAACGGUUCGAUCCAGGUCGGCUUGGGUCUGGUCCGAACAUAUGUCAUCACCGGUCCACUGAUUUAAGCCCAAAUAACCGAGCUAACUCCACCUUACCAACACCGUCGGCUGCGAGUCAACUCACCACACAACCACAGUCGACUUCGACUCAAAUCACCAAUACCACCAUCGUCGACAUCGUGCCAACUCAGUGCACAGCCGAGAGCUUCCAAGCGGAGGUGGUUAUGAGCGGUCGAGUGUGCCAACUCAACAUCAAACACCCAUUAUUCUCCUCCACACGAUAACCUUCGCCUCCAUUAAACAAAGCCAAAAGCGUACUCGCUUGCUUAAACGCGUUAGACCCGAGAUGCGCCGGCGCAAAACCGGACGAACCGAACCGGUUCGACCAUUGACUCAGCGUCUCAUGUCUCUCGACACGGUCCGGACCUUCGCAAGCCACCAGAUUGCAAAUCUGUUUCCCUAAGUAAACUUCCGACAUGACUUUGUCUUGGCUACUCGGAGCUCCUUCCAAGGAAUCAAACAAGGUCGAAUAGUAAUGCAGCGAUUCAGUAAACCGGUCUAAGAAAACCGGACCGUUAUGAUUCGAUUCUUGCUCAACCACCGUGAAAAUCACCGGUUUAAUCUGUUUCACAACGCCGAAGACUUUCUCUAUCCCACCGGGACGGCCUAGGAGCUUGUGGAGCUCGAAAACGGAGUUAACCGCCACAGAUUCGGUUUCGCUCGGUCUAAGCUCAAGCAUCGACGCGUCGAGAUCGGCUAAGCUGUUAGCAACAAAGCCACGGUACUCAAACUCGACGUGAAUCGCCUCUGCGAGCUGAGCCAACUUACAUCCAACUUCGUGGAGAUGAUCGGAGUUAUCCGCCGCGGGAGGACCAAUUCCGGUUAACCUGAAACUCGGAGGACCUCCUUCUGGGCUUGCAUAAGCGCCGGCCAUUGCAGGCCUUGAUUCAUGGAGAAGUCGAUGACGUGGACUCUCUUCUUCCCUUCGAAAGCCUCGAGGAUGGCUUGAUUCGCCGUGAAGUGAGCGAACUUGAGGUAAGGGCACGUCUCGUAGAAGUGCAUCUGGAGCGUGUCCGAGAGAGAGUGAUCGAUCUGAGUCUGCGGCGGAGAGAGGCGGUAGAUCCGCCGCGCGAGAGCUUCGGCGAAGUACGUGGCGACCUUCCUCAUGGCUCCGGCUUGAGACACGGCCAAGAACCCAAUCUGCUUAACGAGAGCCUCCGCUAGAGUCAAGUUGCUGCUCUGCACGGCUUCCGCACAGGCCAUAAGCGCGUGGACUAGACGCACGCCGUUGUCCUGCGAGUCGACCAGGAUUAAAGGACGAGUUGACUCGCUCGCGGUUGUUGUGGUAACCGUCGUUCCUAUAACUCCAGCAGGUGAUGGAGAUGUAACCAUCGAAUCAGGGCUCGAGCAUGGUUUCAACCGUUUAUUAUUCAACGAAUCGACGGCGAACUGAUUAGAUCCCCUGCAAAUCGCGCUUCCGGGAAUAGCUUUGAGGUCGUAAUCGCCGCCUCCGGCGAAGAACGAGUUAUUAUUAACCUCCGGGGAAGGAAGAAUCUGAUUCACACCACUAGACCCGGACGCAGCGGGUGGGUUAAGCUCCGUGAGCAUGUUAUCAAGCCAAGAGUAGAGCUCAGCAGGGUUGUAAUGAACAGUAUCCGUCGCGAGAUGAGCUAAACCGUCUUCUUGAACAUUACCCAUCAUUGUCUCAAGCUGCUCGAGUUUCAACGCAACCUCAGCCAUCUCCGACGACCUGACCUUGUAACCCAAGACUCCUAGAAGCUCGUCGUCUUCUUCUUCUUCCUUAACCAUCAUCAUCUUGUCUUUACCAAAAACCGCCGGGGAAGAAGUGGAAGAACCGGCGAUUGAUGUCCCGUGGUUGGGACCUUGGAACUGAUGAAGAUCUCUCUUCAUUUCUGAUCUGGUUAGAUAGUUAAUCUCUCAGAUCGGUCUGGUUUUGGGUUGUGGUCUUGGAUCUAGGGUUUGCUUUUUGAGUUUUUUUGGGGGAGGAAGAAGAGGAGCAUGUGACUAAUAAGGUGAAGAAUCUUAAGCAAUCGAGCAUUGGGUGGGGAUUGCUUUGUUUUUCACUGCGACUACCACUUCAAUGAUCAUACGAAUUAACAAUAAUACUAAAAGUAAUUGAUGUACAUUUUUAUUUAGAGAAAAAGACAAAAAUAGCACUAAAUCAAGUUUUUGUUUUCAAACUAGCAUUCAAGGUCAAAAGUCACAAAAAUAGCACUUAAUGUUUUAUCAAAAGUUACAAACUUAGGGUUUAGAGUUAAAGGGUGGGGUUUAAGAUUUAGGGUUUAGGGUUUAGGGUUUAGAGUUUAGAGUUUAGAGUUUAGAGUUUAGGGUUUAUGGUUUAGAGUUUAUGGUUUAGAGUUUAGGGUUUAGAGUUUAGGGUUUAGGGUUUAGGGUUUAAAAUUUAGGGUUUAGAGUUUAGAGUUUAGGGUUUAAGGUUUAGAGUUGAGAAAUGAGGUUUUGGGUUUAAGAUUUCAAAUUUUG